CAGAGGUGCGUCUCAGCCCCAGGAGGAUCCCAUUACAUUUUGGUGGUGAUCUGGAUCGCCUUCUGGAUCCAGGAAUUUUUUGAAGGAUUCUUUAUCAUUGUGAGAUAGGGCAAAUUUUGGAAUUUUUGCAUUUAACUCUAUAAAAAUGGCCAGAGUCUUUAGUAAAAAAUUACACAAAAGGAUCUCAAUGAGUUUUAUGAGGUGUCAAAGGUUGAUCCUGAUCCAGACAAAAUUCCGGAUACUGUGAUCCAGAGCACACAAAAAUAAGGGUGUCGUUGGAAUUUUCAGUGCUGAAAGAUAACCAAUGGGCAGCACAGUGGUGUAGUGGUUAGCACUGUCGCCUCACAGCAAGAAGGUCCUUGGUUCAAAUCUGGGUCAGGGCAUUUCUUGUUUUAGAAACACAAAUAAACGUUAAUAAAAGACACGUAACAGUAAAAGUUUUGGUGUGAAUCACAAUAUAAGGGGGGACAUGAGCUGCUUGGCGGAGGUCUGCGCUCUCCGAGUGCUUUUCUAGUCAGUAUUGUAGUCAGUAUUCACCAUCCCCUGCCUGAUAGCUAGCAGACUUUCCAGGUAAUUAUCCAGCCAACACACUAGCCUUGCUAUGUUAACAACAUAACUGUAGCAUAUGAAGCCUAAAAAGCUACCUUUGCAUUUUUACUCUAUUAGGAAUUGCUUGGUAAUUGAGUUUAAAUGAAAGGUGACUGAAAUCCACCCAUAUAUUUUGUCUUGAAACUUGUGUGGGAACUUGGCGGCUCCUCUCCAAAGUAACAAAGCUAUCAGCAGUCACACAGAAAAGAUAGCUUGAUGAUUUGAUUAUUGAUUGCUGAUGCCAAAUCCUAUGGUAAGACUUUUUUUUCCAGCUAUGCUAAAUAAAAGCCAAACAUCUUUGGCAGGAAAGUUUACUUGCCAUGUGUUACUCACUUGUGCCAAACAAUUUUGACGGAGAUUUGAGCCUCUUCUCUAUAAUUAGAGACGCAGAACUCAAAUGGUUUAAUGUAGACAAUUACAAUUAACAUAAUGAUCCAAUCUGGGUGUUUAGCACUUGAAAUGCUGUGUUCUACUAAUUAAGUGGUGUAAUGAUGUUGAUGUUGAUGUGGAUUAAAAUACCUCUGCAAAAACACUGAGAAAAAUAAAUAAAACAGAUACACUAAAACACAGAAUGGUGUUCUUCAGAUGCAUGCUAGCUCCUCUGAGUCAAGGGUGAGGGUUUCAGACCCUCGGUGCCUCCAUGUUUUUGUUUACUCUGAAUGUUCACUCACCUGACACAUGAGCUAACCGUUUGCACUGGGGCUGUUUGUCUUUCCUUUCCUUUUUUUUAUUUUUUAUAUCUUACUCCAGUAUUAUUUUUUCUCCUCUUGCUCCUGAUUGAUAGCAUGCCCUCCAGAGACUGAAAACAAAUACAAGAACAACUGUGUAUUGCUCUCUCUGUAUACCUAGAGGCAAAAACUGCUUUGAGGCCUGACCAAAUUAUUUUUACUGUUUUAAACAAAAGGCAGCCUGACAAGGAGGCAGGGACAGUUGAGCCAACUGAUGUAAAGUAUAAAAGCCUGCUAUUUCAAAGCAUUAUAGCACAUCAGGAGACCAAUAAAGGAGACUGUUAUUUUACCUUCUCAACCAAAAAAAUAUUGACUUGUCUCCAUUAUCAAGCAACAGCUUCAUACUGGUAACCAAAGAGUCACAGGGUGACUCCUUAAUAUUACCUUUUCUGUAAAACAAGGAGCUCAGUCGGUAGGUUUUAUUACGCAUGUGACACACUAAAUGAAGCCAAAUAAACCCAUAAGAGGUUGUAGUGAAGGACUGGACAGAGCAUGUUUUCACAGUUUAUUUUUCAGUCCCUCUUGAGGUCUGAUUUAAAGCCUGUUGUUUUUAUACCCAUAAAUACUUGAAUCUCUGGAGGCCGACUUGUUUUAUAGGCUUGCCGCCUCUGUUUCUGCUCACCAGGGUUUACAGGAGGACACAGUCAUAUAAACAUGGUAAUAUACCAGCCUUACUCAUAAGGAUGGGGAAGAAAUAUCUGAGGCUUUAAUUCAUUUUAUUGCAGUAUUUUAUCACGAGCAGACAGGGGCAAUAAUCUGCUGUGUAAAUGAUUGCAGGGAUGUGCAGAGUGGAAAAUGAAUGAAGUGAUAAAUAGAUUAAGAUGAGGCCAAGUGAAAUUAGGAGGAAUACUCACAACCACCAGCUGCUUUGUUUUGAUGUAAUAGAAUAUGUAUUAAAAUAAGAAAAUAAAUUUUUAUUAGCUUCGCAGAGCAUAAAAUGGAACACUGCUAAAAGUUACCAUAAGAGUGUCUUGUGGCAACUUGUAAUAUUUCACCGUGUAACGCCAGUCUGGAAUGGGAUUCAUGUUUACAAGGUUUUAAAAACUGAAAUGAAUUUGAUUGAGACCUUUAAAGUUGCACUAAACUGCCAUGUUAAAUGCGGUGACAGUUUUUAGGAGUCAGCAAUCCCUAGAAUUUUCAUGACUAAGAGGUGUUUUUUAGAUCAUAAAACCAAAUGAUAUGUUAUUUAGCUUACAACAGGAAAUGGAUAUUUUGGUUCUUCUAGAGUAAGGUUGCAUGGGGUGCUUUUCAAUAGUAAGUGUUUUGCACACAGGGGAUGCUGGUCACCUCGACCCUUUCAUUGAGGAACAGGCAGCAAAAACUGACAUGGAGGCUGGACUAUGAACAGUUGUGGAAGAGGUCAAAUCUAUUUUGUAAUUCAGCCAAUUUCAAAAAGCUUCAACCAAACACUAAGUGGUCUAAGCUAAUGUUGCAUUUGGCAGUUCUUAAGUGCCCUACUGUUUUGCCAGGAAGCCAAUUAAUUAUGGCACUAUUUGCUGAUGCACCACACGUGUGUUCUGCUGCUAAGGUGCCUGCAGUGCACUGGUCAGCUGUUUGGGUCUACCUGCUUCAAAAUAUGACAAAUAAAUUAGGAUCAACGAUUUUGACAGUGGUGAUGACUGCUUAUUAUUGCUUGAAGGGAGAUUAAUGUAAACAGGGAGACUAAAGCAUACAAAUUAAAAUCUGUGAUAAAAAGAUUGUGUAGCAAAAAGCACACAAGUAAAGAUUGUGGUGAUGAACUCUUUAUAGCUUUACAAAAAUUCACUUUUAUACAAAGCUGCUGGAAAUAAUCACAGAGAGGAAUGUAGGUGAUUUUGACCAGCUUGUGUGUCGUCAGACUGAUUGUUGCUGCUGCAAGAAGACAGUGAAGUGACACCAAAUGAAAUGUGACAAAGAAAUGUAUUUCGAUUGGAAUCUCCUGACUUGCCUCUUUUUCAGUUGUUAUAAAACCACACGAGUCAAAAGAUGCUCAAACACAAUUGUGUAAAAUGGCGAUAUUUGGUUAUUUUCUGUUGUUUUUUAAGUGUGUCAUCAUGGUACAAAAAUAUUACUUACCCAUUUUGACUAAAAUAUUUACAGAAAUUAAAAAAAAAAGCUAUUUCAAAAUAUUUUUUGGAUAGUCUCUGCCUUAUUGUAUUUAUUUUUUAUUUAUUUUUUUGCAGUAGUCAGAUAUUGAAACCAUCAAUUUUCUUGUGGUAUAUUUUUCCGACUUUUCAGGGGUCUAUUCAAAGACUCUUGAUACUUUUUAUCUAUCUAAAUGAUUUGUUUAACAUUUUAGGGGUUCUUUCACUGAUAAUGGUUGAUGGUGACACAACUAUUUGUCAUACAAAUUCUAGUUCUGUUGUGAUGCUCCAGGUAUCAAGUCCUAGAUUCUCCGGAUCAAAAGCAAAAUUUCUUCGGAAAUUUUGUAUAUAAGAAUGUGAGUUGGACAUUGCACAUUGAUCAGGUCAGUAAAAAAAAAAAAAUCUCUAGGUUUUAAAAGAAGGGUUGGUCAUCUUGUUACCCAUAACUGCCCCCUUUCUCUCUAUAAGAGUCUAAUUUAUCCAUAUGGUUCCUGUUGUGAUAUAUAUUGGAGUCUUUUCUGCUGCUCCCUUUGAAAUUCUGUGGCUCAGAAAAGCUUGAAACCUGAUCAGUGUCACUUGUCUUAUCUGUUCCUCUCUUCAAAAAGCUUGAGAGCCUUUAUGCUUUCAUUAAUAUUUCUCAAAUCUAUGUUUUUUUAUGUAAAUGUAAAAGCCUAGCAACUGCAAUAUGAACUCUCAAUGUUUGCUUGCAAAGUUGCAUUUUGUGAUAGGAUUUAGGGGACCAAACUGCAUUUAAAAAAAAAAAAAAAAUUGCUUGGGAAAUGUUACAAAAUAUGCCUGAAAAAAAAAUAUGUUAUGUAAUUGUUCCUAUCUUGUACUGUUGUAUUGACAGGUGUUUAGGGUUUAUUCGGAUCCCUUUCAGUAUAAAAAUCUAUUGCUGUGAGGUUAAUGGUGAUAAAAAAAAAAUGGAGCUCACUUAAACACUCAUUAGCAGGAAUUCUUAAUUCCUAGAUUUAUAUUGUUAAACAUCAGUUUAACAAACCAUUGUGCUUAUUAUAGACUAAGGGUAAAAAUCCAGAUUUGUGUAUGUCAUUUAACAGUAUUUAGGUGGAGGCUUUAACUAAACUCUCCGAGCUUUUUGCCUCUUCCUGCUCUUACUAUUUAAUUUAGUUUGUUUUUUGUUUUUAUUACACUUUCUUACAUUGCUUACCCUUAUUAUGAGAUAAAGGCAUGCAGCCCCUAAGACAGGGUCAGACAGGUUGUGAACCCUCUUGAUUUUGGAUUAUCUUGAGCUCAGCAGGCCAAACAAUAAAGCAACACUGUGUCUGCUUUCUCCAGUAUUUGGGAGCAGGUUUUUAUCCCCUCACUAAUACAUCUAAUUUUUGAGAGAGGCCUUGUUCAACUGAAUGUCCCAGAGCUGAAAUAUAAACACUUAACUUGGCUUGAACAAUGGGAAUGCUUAUUAAACUGCAAUACACACCAGACACUAUGUUAUUCAGCCACUGCUGCAUUCUGAUAGGACAUGGGGAGAAAAAAAAACAAAAACAAUAUUGCUGUGGUGUUGUUGUUUUUUCCCCCCAUAAAGAUGGAUGAGUGAGCAUCUCAUCACUCCCGGUUAGGCUGUGAGGAGACACGACUGUCCAAUAAACAUGUUCCAAGGGUGUGAAUUACAUCUGUCCUCAUUGUAAGUGUCUCAUUAAGCCAUGCUCUCCUGAUUGAGGGAUACAUGGUAGCAAAUUAUAACGGGGGGAACUGUUUGAUGAAAAUGUAGUGCCCAGGACAAAAAGAUAAAUAAUGCUAGCAACUUGAAGGUGAGCACAAUCCAUCAGUCCCCUGUGGAAAUGAAUGUUUUUUUUUUUAGACCCAGACAAGAGGAGCAAGACAGCAAAAGAGCAGACAAAUCACACACUCACUGGUGGCAAGAAGGAUAACUUUAAUGUUCAAUCACAGUGAAAAUGACAUAAAGCUCUUAAGUGAGAGUCGCAGACUCUAUGUAAUAAUAAGCCAUGUACUGUACAAUAGCUGAUAGCUAAAAACAAAUUAGCUUGGAUGCUAUUCUGAAUGUCAAAUACAGUAUCAGUCUGAGGAGCGAUUCGGACAUCCUAAAGAGAGUGGAUUCAAGUUGAAAUAUUUGACACUUUUUUUUUUUUUUUUGUGAAGUUUGUGAUAACUAGAUUCACACUCAAACGAGCUGUAUGCUAAGAGAAAUAUGUUAGAUAACAGUGUGUACAAACUUCUGAAAAGACAGGGGUGUCACACAAAGAUGUUGAAGAUUCAAAUAAAGAUCAUGUGAAACAGCAAGAUAAACAUCUUCAGCGGAAAAAGACAUGAUUGAAGUGCCACUCAAAAGCAAAAGAGGUGACGAUGGGGUGUUUUCUCAAAGUGAUGCUCUGUUUGCUUGACGUUAUUGGUGAAGCCAUUUUUAGGAGGGAGCUAACAGCCCCAGACAACAGAGGCAUUGCUGGUCAAAAACAACAGAGUGCACUUAAGCCUGUUCAGUCUCUCAGCGGGAGGUGUAAAGGAAGCUGCAGUCUACGGGGCCAAACAACAACACCAGUCAUAAAGGUUUGGCCUCAUCUCUUCACAUGCAAACAUUUCUUCUCAUCCCAUUUUGAUACUCUGUUGAAUGCUCCAUCAAAGAGUUCAUUAUUCAGAGAUAAUAUCUGACAUUGAAUAAGCACACAACCCAAUUAGCGCAGCAGUUCUGGGAUUGUUUGGGGAGACUUUGCUGUUUAAUUCUCACUAAAAGGAAUGCAAGAGACUACUAGCCAAAUAACCUUUUAGAUGCCCUGCAGGGAGAAUAAUGUAGUCAAUACCCACUGGCACAUUGCUUGUGAAUGUGAGAUAAUUAGUGUUUAGGGGUUUCUUGUGUGUGCUUAUUUACAUUAUGUUCGUUGGAGUGAGAGGUUUGUGAUAGGCAUUUGUCCUGCCCCCUAUAAUAUAAGCUCAUCUGGAGCUACAUGAAAAUUACAAUAAUGAGCUGAGUGAUGUGAAUUUUAAUUUGAUUCCAGCUGGUGAAGAACCUCACCUGUUAGCGUUUGGUUUAGACAGGGUAUUUUUGUUCACUGUGUUUUAUGUGCAAAUUGGUUCAGAUCCAAACCCUCGUCAUUGAGCCUAUUAGAGAAAUCACACUAAGUGGUCUCAAAGAGCUGGUUACUGACUUGAUCAAUCAAACAUGGCAGUGUAAAUCUUAAAAGGGGCAGUGCUGGCAGGAUUAGUAAGAUUCUUAUCGUGAAGGAGUGUGCUUAACAUUGUGACCGCCUGCCUAAUAUUGGGUAGAUCUACUGAUGAGACAUGGGCUGCACUUGACCUCUGUGAUUUCUGGCACAACAUUGUAUCAGUAGAUCUUUUAAAGGCACUGCGAGGAGUGUAACUGGUUGAGAAACAGACUGAUGCCUCUCGAUGACUGUUAAAAGUAAACAAGAACAUCACUAAGAAAGCUGAUACUAACACUGUUGUCACAUUUAGUGCUUGAAACCCUGUGGGGUAGGAACAGCAAAAACAAAAACACUCAAGUCUGACUUUUUCUGCUGCAAAUAGCUGCAAGUCUGACUAACAUACUUGGAUAAUGGAGAUUGAUUUUCUUUGUCAGGUAUAGAAGGACAGUAAUCCAGUUAAAUGGCCUAAUUGAGCUAUAACUAUAGAUCAACUUAGUGAUGCAUGUAACUGUUCUAUUACCAAUAUGGCAACCACCACUGAUGGGCUUCAAAACUCAACUUCACCAACUCAUGGGUGAUGUCACUAAUGCUAAAUACAUUUAUCACAUAGUGAAGUGAUUACGUGAAUCUGUAUGUAAAGAACUGCAAUGCACUUUGCGUUAGGACUCCUUUCUUUCAAAGUACAACUUCUUUUUUUUUUUUUUUUUUUUUUUUACAAUUUGAGCCUCAACAGCUCUUUUGUUGGAUCAGACCACACAGACAAGUGAACUUUGGCUGAUCAUGGUCCUGCCAAAAGUUCAUUGGUUUUUUCCUCCUUUCACCACUUUUGGAGUGUAAGGAUGCCUAGCCCAUGUUCACACCUUAUACUAGAAAAGCACCCGAAGAGCCCAGACCUCCGCCAAGCAGCUCAUGUCCCCCCUUAUAUUGUGAUUCACACCAAAACUUUUACUGUUACGUGUCUUUUAUUAACAUUUAUUUGUGUUUAAACUGGUAUGUUCACUGUUCAUAAUGAGGCAACAGUGCUAACCACUACACCACUGUGCCACCUAUCUACACCACUGUGCCACCCAUUGGUUAUCUUUCAGCAUUGAAAAUUCCAACAACACCCUUAUUUUUGUGUGUUCUGGAUCACAGUAUCCAGAAUUUUGUCCAGAUCACCACCAAAAUGUAAUGUGAUCCUCCUGGGGCUGAGACGCACCUCUGGUGAAAAUUUCAGGUCAAUCCGUCUGUAACUUUCUCUGUGGAGUUGCUAACAGACAAACAAACUCACAAACAAACAAACCAACGCUACCGAAAACAAAACCUUGGCGGAGGUAAUAAAUGGAAGGUCCACACAAAUGAUCAUUUUGACAAGCUUUACUGGUUACAGAUCAGGGUUACAGCUUCAUCAUGUCACAAGUGUAACAAAGCUUAACAAAGUGUAACAGAAGUGUAACAAAGAUGUGUCUGAGACCGUUCAAGUAUAUAUAGUCGUCCACAUUUCUAAACAUACUGCUGACAUUUAGUUGACUCUAAUAAAAAUCCAUACGGUAAGAACAAAGGACAACAUAUUUUAAGGAGCUUUAGGUGAACAUAUGGAGGGUCCAUAGAAGGAAAUACCAUGACAGAACGUAUUUUGGGGACCUGUAUGAUGUAAAACAUGGGUACAAGGUAGAUGUUGAGGAUGGUUGUCAGAGGCCCCCAGCUCCAGCAAUCUAACACUAAAGUAUCUGAGGUAUUUGAGUGACACAGCUCCACCACUCUUAAGGCUGAUAUGACUGGCUAAAGAAACUCAUCCUAACAUGGAGAUACUGAGAAGAGCAAACAGGGAAGACCCCACAAGAGCAACAAAUGUUGCAACUCUUGCUGCCUGACAUAUCCAGCUCACUGACAGGAGCCAUUGCACAGAGAUAACUAAUGUUGCUCACUUCACCCUUUAAUGAUCAUGAUGUUAUGGCCAAUUAGUGGGAAUAUCAAAAUCUCACAAUACAAUUAUAUGGCGAUGAUAAAUCCAUGAUAUGAUAGUAAUUUGAGUUUGAAUGUGGCUUGAUGCUAGGACCCAUGGAUGAAGGUACUGAUGAGCUUUAACGUUUAUGAUUUGGGGGUUUUAGAAAUGCAGAAUGGAGUUCUCAACAGCUUGAUCUGCAUAGAUCCAUACUGUUUUUGUUCAUCAAUCACAUUUUCCUGUUCACAUGACAUGGUGAUACUGCAAUAGUAAGAUACUUUGAAACUUCAGCUGUAAAUGCAGAUACAUUUUAACUUUCUGCCUUGAAGAAAUGGUUUCAUUCAGUGAUAUUGAGACGCUUUGGUGUCAGGAUACUAUGUUGUUGACAGUGUCAUAAUAUCUCCACUGAUUUGUGUAUCUGCUUUUGAUAUAUUUUAUAGGUAUAAUCAUAUUGUGACAAACUCUAAACACUUUUUUCAUUGUCUGACCAUCAGUAGGUGGUAAUAAGCAGCUGAUCUCUUGGCAGCAGAUUUCCUAUCUUGAAGCACUGUCUUCGCACUGCUUCACACGGCAGUAAAAUGGACAUAAGGUAAUGAUAUAAAUAAGGUCGGAUAUGAAUUUGGUGCACUUGUAAAUAAUAAGUGUAUCUUUGAAAGACAAAAUACAAAAUAGAAUACAGAUAUGUUUAUCUCAUUGUCAGAAAUGUCAGCGCACAGCUUUGUAGAUUUCUGCUGCAUGGUUUAGACAUGAUGUGGUUUAUUUUUCUGGUUAUAUUUCAUCCAAGAAAAAGCCUAAAACUCUAAACAUUGAGACCUAAAUGUAACCGUCGAAGCCAUUAAGGGAAAUCUGAAUAGAGCCCAAAAGGCAAACAGAUUUGACUCAUUUCAUGCUUGAGUUCCAAGCCUCAGCUUCCACUUUUAAAAGUCAUGACAGAAAUACAUAUUUGAAAAUCAUGAUGUAAGGUCUCUCAAAUCUGUCAGGCACUACUGUAAAUCCAUUAGCCCUCCCAUGGGGGAGAGACAUCCACUGACAGCUCCGUCUUCCUCCUCACAUUGAUAGAUGCCACAAUUACACAUUUAGCGACAAGUCAGAUCACAUUUGAUCAAGCAGUUCUUUGCUGUCAAUUUUUCAGGCCCUGUCAGUCAUUUGAAUUAUGUGAAGGGAGCUGGGGUUGAGAGGAAAUGCUGCUCACUUUCACCCUAUUUUCAAUAGAUGAGUCAUUUUGGUUAAAGCAGUCUGAUAUUUCCACCAGUGUUUCUCAUUUUCUUGUAACCUUUAAAAGGGAACAUGGUCUCUACUCUAGUUUCAAUGAUUUGCACUCCUCACCAGCCUAGGGGAGAUGUACAAACAGGGAGGACUAAUAUCGAGCCUUAGUUCACAUUGGUAAAUAACAUUUCACAUUGUUUGCCAUUUUGCAGCUUUGAUUUGUGAUUUUCACUGCUCAUAUUUCCCCUUUGUUUUCCAUUUAGCACAUUAAAAGAUGGCAGACAGAGCUGAUCUCAUUCAUGUGUUGCCAAAACCCUCUAAUUGUUUAAUGUGACUCUCUUUCUUACAUCAUUUGCUGGCAACACCGCAAAUGAAAACCUGUUACUAUCUCCCACUCAGACCAAAUGUCAGCAGUGUAUUAAUUACCCUCGCGUGACCAAAAGAACACAUUUAGUGAAGUCCAGUAAAGUAUUCUUGACCCUGUUAACCCUUGCUUAGAUAAUUUGCUUUCAUAGAGCAAACAUCUAAAUCACUCCAACACUGCUUUAAUUUCAGUUUCCUUCUUUACUCUUUUUCCCAGAGGCCUCUCAAAGCUUACUGCAUCUUAUCAGUGUGACCCAUCCAGCAGGGGUCACUGUGGCCCUUGGAGAAGUCCGGCAAAUUACAUCCUCUGAGCAGCAGUGCUUCCUUUGCUCCCAUGCUAUAGACACACACCAUUAGUGAGUCUCAUGUGAACUUGAUUGUGAGUCAAAGAGCUAGUUCAUUUUGCAUGUAUUUCUUAUAUUCCUUAAAAUGAUUUGACCAUGUGAAUCAAUUACACGGACACUGGCAGCAACAGAUACCUUUAUGUGAAAUGGGAAGGAUGGCUGACACAAGGUAACAGCAACUUAAUCGAUGUUGACUGAAGCAUGUGAGCAGUUUGAGGUAAUGGCUGAGAGUGUGUGGAAUAGCAUUUGCAUGGUGUGGAUGCUCAAGAAUGUUUUUUGCUUGAAUGACCUAUUAGGCCUAUGAUACGGACCAGAGGUGCACAGAUUUAGCCUUUUCAGGCAUAAUUUUCGCUGACAGGGGAGAGAUGUGUCAAGGGCAUUUUUUUUUUCUUCUUUUUUUUUUCUUAGCAUAGAUGUGUGUUGUCAGCAUGGCCUCCAAAACUUUAAUUCUUUAUUCCCAAUCACUGACAUUUUCUAGACUGAAAUUAUUAUUAUAUUCUGCUUUACAAUCAUAGACAAAUUUUCAGUUUAGAAACCACAAAAUUCCAAAUCAGUGGGUUAGUAGGCAGUUUAUCAUUAAUGUUGGCUCAGUCUGAACCCUACAAAACAAUACCAACUGAAUAUCACGUCAAGUCCUGCCCCUGUCUUGGCAACUUGUUCAAAACUAAGGGGGCACUAUGGAGGAACAUCCUACAAGCUGCUAACAGGCUCUUGUCUUUGUGUGUUUUUUUAUGUGCUUUAAGUUGGGAGUACAACUGUGUGUGGACACAAAAAAUCUCUCAGAGACUCUCUGAAACAUCUUAUUCCACAGGAAACAUAUGGAACCUGGUGAGGAAUCUGACUUGCUUCACCAGGUCCCAGGGGGUUCAUGCCAUCCCAGACAGCUCCCUGAAACUAGUCUUGUCUUACCAAGCGCAAAUAAAACAAUCUACUUGCUUAAUUUGCACAUAUCUGGAUAUGAGCAAAUUAAGCGUAUUUACUUUGCAAGAAUAUCUGCUUAAUACAGCAUGAUUUGUGUGUUUGUAUUGCAUCUGCAGAGAGCCCAAACACAGGUGUGAUUUGGAAAGAAGCGAGAAAGAGGAGGGGUUCCUACAUGUCAGGUCAGACUGUGUACAUUGAACAUAGCGGAGGUUGACCACCAUAGACUGUAUAUAGAAUGGACAUCAUCUGCCUCCUUGCUGGGUGACGCCAUAGCGAGAACAGCACCCUCCGGUGAUAGGCUGCAGUAUAGGUCAUAAAUCCCGCCUCCUCCAGCAAUCCCUAUGAGGCUGUGGACAAACUUUAGAAAUUAAUUACUCAGAAUAUAAAUUUUUCUCCCUCCUGGUUGUGAUGUUGACAUGUAGUUAUUGUAAGACUGGUUUGUACUCAAGUCCUGUUUUUUUCUGUGCAGCUCCAUUUAUCAUGUUCAUGUUUUCUAUGAUUCACGCUUGAUACAGCCUAUGGGCGUACAAAGGUUGGGUAGCUCACCCGGGAGAUAUGCUGUUUGAGCUGAGCGUCAUCACAGCAACUCUCCUGCUGAAUGCGUACAAUGCCACUGCAUAAGUGGUGGAGUGCAUACAACGCUACUGUGCAAUGUUGGUUUCAAGAAGUGGAGAAAAAACCUGGAAAUACCGAGACCUUUUUGCCUUCAAAUUUGUAUACUGGCGGAAGGUGGAACCAAGCUGUCCACAGUUUAUACAGUCUAUGUUGACCAUACUGUGAGGAUCUGUUGAGUCUGAACAACAUAGUCUGCUUAAUUUGCGCUGCGCAAUUUGCAUCAUUCGUGUUGUCUGAGUAGAACGAGUGUCUAAUCGAGUCUUGGCAUUGACUUUGCAUGUAAUUCAUGUACAUGAAUGAUUUUAUUUGCACAUGGUGUGAGCGCCCAUUUCAAAGUAUGCACAUGCCCUAUUCCUGAGCUUUGACAGCAAAGAUUAUGAGUAGACAACCGAAAUAAAUGUUUUGUUUUCGGUAGGGUCUUCCAAAUACUCUCUUCAUAGUGUCAUUUGAAUAUUAACAUGCAACCUUUCCUAGUUGGAAGUGUAACAUGUGAGUUCACACAAUAGGUCAUGUUCAUGAAUCCAUAAUACAUACUCAACAGCACAUUUGUGAAAUAAAAUAUAAAGCUACAGAGCAGAUAAUAUUCAGAUGUCUGAGAUAUGUAGGUUUGUUUUUUGUCAGGUCAGCCUGCCUUGUUCUUCAGUGCUUCUAGCCCUGCAGGCGUAAUCUGUGCUUUCAAUACCAACUGUGCUGCUACAGAUUAGAAGGAGACUUGCUUUGACUCUUAUUUAGUUUUAUCACUGGGCAUUUUUUUCUUGCUUUGGCAGCCUGAAAAGGUUUUAUAUGUCUGUAGAUUGAAGCAACAUUAAAGCAAAACCUUCUCAUUACUGACACACAGCACAAGAACCUUGGCUGGAAUCCUUAACGGCAGCAUGAGCCGGUGCUAUCAGUGAGUCCUGUCAAUGAGAGAAACGAGCACAAGACAUAGUGAUAGAUCCCCACAGAAAGACACAGCGAGGGCAGAAAGAGGGACAGAAGAGAAGGAUGGAGGAAGAGAUAGACAACAUCAAACCACAGAAAAUCAAUGUGGCCUGUUCUUGUCGUGUUUCCCGGGCAUGGGAAUGAUAAGUUAAUUGGCUAACGAUCUUCAAACCCAAGCUUCUACCUAAUCCCCCAGUGCACUGCUGACCCCCUGUGAGUUAGGCUGAGAGAGUUUCAACUUAAAGCUCUGAGACCAGCAACAUAUUCAGUUACAUGUAGUAACAAGAAGGAUGGAGCUAAAACAUAAUGAUAGGAGCUGGUCAGAUUGCAUAUUACCAAUGAAGACUGAUUUUCACAUUUCUGGUGUAAGAUGUUUAUUAAUCAACACAUUACUCGCUUUAGAGGCAAUGUCAGAAAACUUUCAUGAACCAGUUUUUUUGGAUUGUAUGAUUAAACAGUGUUAUACUCUGCAUUUUUGCCUUUCUGUCUAACACUAUAUUUGUUCUACAAAGUCUUGUUGUACAUUUUGAUACUUGCAUAAAUUUCACUGAGUCAGAUGGUUUUCAUCAGACCGAGAGACAGUCUCUUGGAGGGAUGGUUAAAUUUCCAAGACUUCAAAUGUAGCAAACAGUUAGAUAUGAGGGACAUCUGAUCAAGACUGUUUCCUCGCACUUGUCUGUGAUAUUUUUUCAACUCUGCCAUCUUGAUGUGCUAGAAUGGAGUAUAUGUUGACGAAUAACACUUACAAGGAGUACCAGCUGCACUUUCAGGCAGAUUUCAGUUUAUGAACGUUAACAGGAGCUGAAUCAAUGUUGGAUGACCCCCUGUGGAUUCCAAAAUUGGCCCAAGAUUUCCAAAACUCCUUUCCAUUAACAAAUAAAACCGACCUCCCUCUUCUCAAAAGUUCAUACCUUUUUUGAACUAGGAGCACAUUCAAAUAGACUGCAUAAAACGUGGACAUGAUAUCAGUGACAUCAGCCAGUAGAGUCUGAAGUUAUUAUUAUUGUUUCAACAUGGAGGUCUCCAUGCCUAACUUUUAGUGGAUCUAGCUCGAGACAAAGGGCUAUGAUGAACCCACCUGUCAGUCAUAUCAUAUGGAUGCAUAUGUGCCCCCUAUGGUUAAUUAUGCCAAGAUUUUUUUUCUAAAUCCUCAUAUACAAUGUGUAUGAAUAAGAAAAAAAGAUAUAGGUGGACCAAAAUUUUUGUUUGUUUGUUUUUGAUACAUGUGUGUUAAUAAGGUCUACUUGGCCAAUGGAGCCAGCGUCAAGUGGACACUUGAAGAACUGCAGUUGUUGUAUAGCAUCUCUGCAGUGAUUUCAUUUUUAGUAUCAGAGGUUGCUGUUUGGUAUUACCCGAAGCUUAACCCACAUAGAUAUUCCUGGAAUACUCCAACACCUGCAAAUCCAGAAAUGUUUCUUCUCAGUUCUGCUCGACAAAAUGUGCAAAUGCUUUAAUACUUAUGCAUGUGGCUGCACUGCUAAUAUGAGAACAAAUUGCACCAUAACCCAUCAUCCUCCAUUUUUGUGAGCACAGUUGAGCAGGAGAACUCUGCUGACUCCCUCUCUAAGCCUCAGGACGGAUCAGAUUCUCUGAAGAGGUUGUAUGAAGUGCGAAAGCGCAGAAUAUUUCUCAGCUUAGAGCCUGAGAGAUACUGUUGGCUCCAAAGUCAUAUUUACUACGGGAUUUCAACCAUCAUGCCAUGCAAUCCCAAGGAAACAUACCCUUCAUUCACAUUUAAUUUGAAAGCUGUGUAGAUUUCAUGGUCCUCGAUAUCAGGGGAAACAGGGUGAGAAAGUGAGAGAGAGGAAGAAAAAAGCAGAAAUAAACAGAGUCACUGCUUGGAGCCGGUGCUUUUAUGCAAGUAAAGCUCUCUUUUCAAAGGUGGGUGAGGGGUCAGGAAAUGAGGCGGUGGAGGUGGGGGAAUUCUUCGAUAGAUGCUUCCUCGACCUUGCACAGCUUAUAAAACCAAAUGCCCCCCAGCCCACCAAAGAAACACACCAUCGCCAGCAGCAGCCUUUCAUCCCUUUGUUGACUUUCUCUAUCUCAAACACAUCCACACUUGGAUCUUACGGCAUUGGCAAACAGUUUGUUUAUUCAGUCUAUUUGGUUUCCAGAUGGAGGAUUUGUGUCACAUAUGGCAAUAAAAAGAGUUCCAGAAGAGCAGUGAAGUUUAUAUCGAAGUUAAAUUUUGUUUACUUCGCGCUUAAAUCCGUCCACUCAUAAUAAGCCCAACAUGCCACCCACACAGUUCUUCACUGUGGGAGGAAAUCCUUAAGGGUCACCACCAAUCUGAAGAUAGACAAGAGGUUUCUACCAUUGGGUUGUUAACCCAAAUUUAAAUGGAAGAGUUAGACUUUGGUGUUUAACAGCAGCAAGGACGUGCUGAGUGGUGUUAUUUAUUUCCUCAUGGUGGAUGUCGAAGUAAAAGUGUUGGAGUUUGUAUUUUAACAUUUGCAGAUCAUUUUAGUAAACAUUAGUGGGAAGUUUAAGUGAUAUUAGUCCAGCAGAGCAUACUUGGCAAUGAUGGUGGAGGAUGGUGUCACUGUCAAAAUAUAAAAUGAUGUCACAUUUUGUUUUUCUUUUUGACUGAAUAUACAAUCAAAUGAAGGUCCCUCAGACAUGAAGAAAAGAUGCAGCUUCUUUCAAAUAAGACAUUCAGCAUUUUGCUGCCUUGCCAUUCUUUCUGAUUGAGUGUUUCAUUGCCCUGUGCCAUCACGUGUUCUCUGUCUGCAGCCUUUUGUCUACCUGAAUCCAUCCAAAAUUAGCCAUUUUCAAAUUUGGAUACCAUGCCAUUGUCUUGUAGGUCAGUUAUUCCCUUGCAAGGUAAACUCUUCUUCCUCUUCUGAUUUUUUCAUGUGAAACUGACUCUCACCUCUCUGCUGUCACUAUGAUUUACUGACUAAUUCACUCAAUAAUCAGAUUGUCUGGCUAUUCAUUUACAACAUAUUACAUUAGACAUGUGCAUGCAAUUUCAGCUAACAAUUCAGUUUUGGAUGCUUUCUCUCAACUCUCUUUCCAUUAUUAUGUCUCAAAUUGCUUUUCUGGCUUUGGCUUAGUCCUUUGUUGCCGGUUGCCGGCUACACUGAAAGCCGUUACCCAUCCACUCCAAAGACCUCACAGUCUGUGUGACUUCUGACAGACUCUGUGAUUGCUAGGGUGUUUAUGGUGACCAAAUAAUAAUGAUUACUUGUUGAAGUUAUCCAAGCAGUGUGUUAGUUUUACUGUUGUAAGUCAUAACCCAUUUAUUUUCACAUGAUUCAAUUCAGCGUGUUAUUUUGUCAGUCGAGGUCAGCACAACAUAGUUAAGCCACUGCAGUGACUUACUGCGACAACCAUGAUGAAAAUAACAACAUCUCCGCACUUUUGAAUGGCACACUUCAGUUGUAAACAAUCCUUGCAGCUCAGUUUAGUGGCCAAAUACAAUUUUCACUUUUUGUCAAACAAAGUCAACUGAUCAACUAAGUCCUUGAAGUUUGAGUUAAUCAGUUAUGUUUGUGGGCAAACGCAUUAGCAGAGCCCUUGGUCCACAGACCUUUGAAUGACACACCCUAAAGUCAUCUCUCAUCUCCAAAGCCCAGGGGAUCAGUAUUAUCUGGAGACCUUUGAUAUUUCAUAGUAAUUGUGGAGGACAUCUGUAAAUUGGUCAGCCUGGUAGAGCUUUCAGUUAUCAGGUCCCUCUCCUCUGGAUUCAUCUACCCACUGAGGUGCAGGGGGUAGACACCCACUUUACCUUUAAGAAUAGGCUCAAGAAAAGCCUCAGUCAGAGCUGGUUCAGGCCUGGGUCAGCUCUUAGCUAUUGGUGUAGACCAGGGGUCAGCAACCUCAAGCACUCAGAGAGCCAUUUGGACCCGCUUCCCACAGAAAAGAUAACACAAGGAGCCAAAAAAAAAACCCCUUAACAUCUAAAAUGAAGACAACACUGCAUACAUUGUUUUUUUAUUUUUUUAUUUUUUAUUUUUUUACCUUUAUGCAGAGUAUUAAAAAAAAGAAAAAAACUGUAGUGUUUUGCAUUUAUGAAAUCAAUGAACAGCUGCCGGGAAAACAAAAUUUUAUUUCUGCAGGCAAACAAAUAUAUUUUAGACCCAUUCUCAUGAAAAUCAUAUUUUUCUUGUCUACAUGAUCAUAUGGCAUUUUUCUGAUUCAACAGGACAUAUCAUGAGAAAAAUAAGUGUGAAAUUGCAUUUCUGAAAGAAUGGCAGACACAAACGGCAGGCUCAGACACAGUGAGAUUUCCUACGUCACAAAUGCCUUUGGAGCAUUGCUGUGCAGGUCAGAAGUAGAGAGAACAAUUGCGGAACAGGCAUGUGUGUUCGGGGGUUGCAAUGCUCGUAAGAAAGCUAGUUAUGAUAUUAACUUUCAUCAUGUUCCCAAAGACAUUACUGUCAGAGAGCUGAGCUUCACCUCCAUCUUCACACAGGCUUUCGGUUUUCACAAGUCAGUAGUUAUGAGACAUAUUUUGAGUGACAAAAAAAUUUAACACUGUUCAUUCAAUGUUACAAGAGCAUCAUAAUCAUAGAAUUUAGAAUUACUUUAAAAAAAUAUCUAAAAUAAAAUAAAUUUAAAUUAAACAUUUAUUAUUCGUUUUCCAAAUCCACAGGGAGCCACAGCAGAGGGAUAAAGGAGCCACAUGCGGCUCUGGAGCUGCAGGUUGCCGACCCCUUGUGUAGACUGUCAAGGGUAAUGGCAUAUUGAGCACCUUUCUCUCCUUUUCCAUCCGCUAUCUGCCUUUGUCAUUAACUUUGAAUCAAAGUGUUACACUCAGUUAUACACAGUCUCUUCUUGGAGUCCCUGUGCUCCAUCGUGGAUUGCUGCUGCGAAUGUUUUGCUGGCAUGGACCUGCCUGUAUUCCAACUACGUGCAUUAAUCUCUCCUCCAUUUAUCUUUCUCUCUCUGAUUAAGGUUUCCAACUGUUAAAGGUAGCUUUUCCUCUCCACUAAAACUUGCUAAAUGUUGCAAAAUGUUGCCUCUGAAGAAAUUAAUCCAGCCUGAAUCACAGUCAUUCAGUGUCCUUUUUUUUCUGGUGCAAAUUCAGAUGGAUCAUAUUAACAGACACUAUGAAGAUCUAUUCCAUUAGGAGCCUUUUUAUCUUUCAGGAUGAUUGUGUUUUUAGUGCUAAAAGUAGGUGUUCAUUGAGGCAGUGUGGCCUGUACAUCACAUUUUGCAUCACAACAAAAAAAUCCUCUCAGUGCUUUGUUCCUUGUUGCCAAGCAACCCCUCAAUUACUCACUCAAAUACCAUAUGGAUUAAUUUGAAAAUGGAGGGGUAAAGUCAGAGGUUCAGCUUAAUACAAGCUGCUUUAUUACACAUUUUUUAACACAAUACAUAAGAUUUUACAGCAUUCUUUAUAUAUACUCUCAAGUUAAGUUGAAUAAACUUUUAAUGUCCAAACCAGGCAACAUAACUAAUGAGCUUUCAACAAAUAAUAAUGGCAUGGUAGACCUUCCCGCUAAAGCUUUGUUCUCAUAGACUCUUUACAAAUACACCUCAGAGCAACAAAGAAGUGCUUUCAACCAGAAUCCUUGAGGAAAUCAUUUCAAAACCAAACUGUGUAAUCAUUCUUUUUCGUCAUGUUGUGGCAGCAGAGCAUUUAGAAGAGAGUUAGCAUUACUCUUUUUACGUUAAACUACGGUAUAUAUAAAUUAUGAAAGUCAACAGUCUCUACAACCUCACUAUGAUGAAAAGGGAUGUACAGAAGCCUUAAAAAGAAAGCAAAGUAAUAAAAGAAAGUAUUCUACCACCCAGAACGUCUGAACACUGGACGAGCCAAGCAAGCGCCAGUUAGCAUAGUGGCUUCCAAAGUCAACAAAAUACACAUCCUAUUACAAAUACUUUAGGAUGGCACUAACUUCUAAGUGGUAGCGAAAUAAUGUCAGCCACAUUUUUUUGAUUUUUGACAUGUUCCUACAUAUCAUGAGACAGGCUACAGGUAGUGUGCCCCAUCUCCUGACUUUGCCAGUCUGUAGAUGAGAGCUGCUGACCAUGCCACAGCGUCUCACUGGGAAGGCUGAGCCCCCUUUUGUGGAAUAAAUUGGAACAAAAUUUCCAAUAAGAAACUACAGAAUAACAUCAUUAAAGCUCCCAUUUACAAUUAUAUGUAUAAAAAUCACACAUUAUACACAAAAUAAAUCACAGACACAUUCUUGGUUGUCAGAGGACCACCUCACACUGAGAGGGGAGAGUAGGAGAAAACAACAGACAUGAUCUUUUUUUUUUGUUUUAUGUCCAUGGGGGCUGACGAUCAGAUGGCGACAAAGUGUCUUUUAUUCAUGUUCUGGCUCUGUUGUGAGCUGUUUUUAUUGCGCACCCUAAGAUAAGCAUGAUUAAUGCUUUCAUCUCCUUCUGUCAGUUUAUUAGUGCAGUGCAGUCAUAAACAUUAUUUGGAUCUAUAUGUUAAUGACUUUAAUUUUUUUUUUUUUUAAUUUGUGUUAUCAGACUUCUGUCUGCUGUUUAGCCAUUUUUUAUUCAUAGAUAAACCACAGAAAUGUAACAGCAGGAAUAUCGAGCUUCAUAAUUUUAAAAAAGUUUGAAUUAGAUUUACUUUAGUCAGUGAUCACCUGCUUCGCUUGACUGCUUAUUUGGUGAGUGAGUGAGAGAAAGAGAGCAACCUUUAUCACGUCAGUUAAAAAUUUCCCAUAUUUAAUGUUGAAAUAAAAUCAUUUUCUCUUUAGAGGUUCCAGUGUAAUACAUGGCAAACAAAGAAUGAGGAAUACGAGCUGCAGGGCUUGUCCUCUGUCAACCACGACCAGGAUCCAUCUUGUUAAUGCGGUCCCACACAGCCUUAGCCAAUCAGUAUAGGCCAAUCAGUACAUCGAGUCUUUAACAAGUAUCCAGAAUGUUCUAACAUGAGAAGGUACAUCAAAGCAUUCAUUUUUGUCAGGUCUUAAGUAUAAGUCCUCUGUCGUUUGUCUCAUUACCUUCCUGCCUUGGAUUUACCCUCAGUGGGUCGUGCUCUGCUCUUGAAAUAUGGUGUAAUGGAAUGACAAACACACCAGAUUCCAGAUCAAAUUAACCCCCAGAGCCAACAAGACUUCAUCAAAUGUCCUGAGAUGUCGGUUUGAUCUCGCUGAGCCUCUCUGAUCACUGAAGACUCCUUAAAGUUCAGUUUUAUUUAUUUUGUCUGCUUAUUUUUAGCAGGAAAUAAAGCACUGAUGAGGGAUGGGGCAUGCAAUUCUCUCCAGCACUGCUAGCAGCAAAAUAGCUCAACAUGAUGGAUUUAUCUAGGCACACCAGUGUAUAGGUACUGUAUGUGCUCUGUGACUAAAGCCAGCUUGCAUGCCAUAGACUGUGUGUGUGUGUGUGUGUGUGUGUGUGUGUGUGUGUGUGUGUGUGUGUGUGUGUGUGUGUGUGUGUGUGUGUGUGUGUGUGUGUGUGAAUGAUUGUAAGCGAGUGUCGGUAGGUAUGCCAGCCUCUGCAAAAAGAAAACGCUAUCAUUUUUCCCCCUCAGGAGGCAGGCAUCACAUUCCUUUUAUGUUAGCUGGAAGUAAACAGGAGCCAUAACACUUUACUCUCUUUCACUUAACUAGACAAGACUGUCAUUGUGGGAUCAGCAGACAUGCUUAAAUUUAAAUAGCUCUAACCUUUGUUCUUUAGGUGUGCAUGUGUAAAACAAGUGGGUUUGAGUUUGUAAGUAAGAGGGUGUAUUUGUAAUACGGAGGCGUAUUGCAUUCACUUACAUCGGACUCAUUUUUUUCUUCUUCAUGGUUUUGUGACUAUUUUUUUCUUCUGUUUUUUGUAUUAUUAUUUUUUCCCCCUCUUUGUGUUUUUCUGGCACACAUUUUUACACGCUUUUUCUUUCUCUUUCUGUAUUUUGAACUAUUUUUUUUUCCCUAAAUAGGCAAGGUACUUCAGAAUCCUGCGAGAAUUUCAUACAAUCUGAUAACAUUAACCACCGUGGCUGCUCCAAAUCAGUGGAUUGUCCAGCUCCUAAAUAACUUUGACCACGGGGUUGAUAAGACUUAGGCAUGUAAUUAGUUAAACAUAGGGUAUGCAAAUCCUGUGGGUAUGCAAAUCCUGUGGUGCCUGCGUAAAGUAGAGAAACUUAUGGCGAUUCCACCUGUCUGACUCAAAGAAAGGAGUAUCUCCUAGUAUCUCAAACGCCCCCAAAAGUAAAACUUGAUUAAACUAAACAAGUGGGCCAUGUUUGCUUCCAGUAAAUCGAGCAGAAGGGGAAGAAAGCCUCUGUUUUUAAAUUAUCAGGAUUUCAGAGAAUAGGAAAAAAAAAUAGUCAGAAAAACAGAAAAUUAAAAAAAUAAUAAUAAUAAUAUUUAUUUAUUUAUUUUGUGAAUGCAAUACACUUUUGUAGUGUAAGCCACAAACUUGUACUACUUAUUUUUGUCACCAUUUACCUCCUCACUCUGUGCGAUGUUCUCAGAAUUUAUACAACUUUUAAUUUCACCUUUAAUUUCAGGUUCAUACUCAUUCAAUGAUGUAUACAGAAGAAUGUCAGUAGUUCAUAACUUCACUCAAUGUUAAUAUCUGUCUAGAAACAGGCUUGAAUAAAAAUGUCAGGCUUGAAUAAAAAUGUCAGUUUUUGAGUACUUCCAAACCUUUCUUCAUUGGAUUAAGUGCCAAAGAUUAUUUGUCAAAUUAUUAGCCUAAAGCUGCCAUGAGCAAGGGAGGGAGAGGAGUGAUGCUUGGAUGACAGAGAAAGGUGGUGAAGAGAGCUCUAAUGAAAACACAGCACAAAACCUGGGAAAUAAGAUGUAAUUUUAUGGUUGUUUAGCAUUGUUACACAUUAGAGACACAAAAUAACAGACCCAUGUUUCUGCACAGACUUACAGGAAGUUCUGUUUGCAUGCAGCUGUGCUUCACCCUGCACACAGUGCAUUUAUGUCUGCACUGCCUCAGCCACAUCUGCAGCUCUUUGAGAGCCACUACAGUGCUAACAGCAUCAUACACUGCUCUGUAAACAUUUGUUAAGUUCAUUCGAUGUCCCUAAAGAUGAUAUGCAUCUGUUACAGACAAGAAGCAUGAGAGGAACAGCAUUUUGGAUUUUUGAGCAAAGAACUGUUACACCAUUGCACAAUGACUGUCUCACACACACACACACACACACACACACACACACACACACACACACACACACACACACACACACACACACACACACACACACACACACACACACACACACACACACACACACAAAAUGUCCUAAACACAGUUACAUAAUGACACAACCAGAAGAUAGAGACUCCACCAUACACUGGUGGAUGGUAUUAUAUUUGAAGACUGAGAGGAGAUAUUUUAAUACAAGGAGAUUUUUUUUUUAAUUAUUAUUAUUGUAACUCCAUUAGCACUGAGUCACAUGUUGAAUAUGUUCACUAACUUUUCUGUGCCAGGACUGUGCGCAUGCUGGCAUGAAAAACAAACAAGCACAUAAACUCUGGGUGCCUACGAGUGUAUUUUUUGUUGCUAUGGUAUCAAAACAGGCAGUGAUAUUUAUGUAUUUUCUAAAUCAUAAUGCUCAAGUUAAAAACUCUAAUUCUGUGACAUUAUAAUUUCCUGGAAAAGGAAAAUAUGCAGUGAGGAGAAGAAGAUAUAUUUAUAUUGGAUGUGAUGAGGAUUUUCUUUUUUUUUCGAAAUUUUGUUGUUGGCUUUUAAGGCUGUUUAAGGCACCACUUUGCCUCAUUGAACUUCCACAUAUUUUCUCUCUUGCUAGAGCUGCUUCUAGCAGCUGCUCCUUGGACUUUCACUAAAACUCAGCCUCUGGAGCUGCCACCCUGAACAACUGGGACAGCUAAGCACUUAAAUUAAGAUUCCAUUUCACAUUCUGGAUAUUUAUAAAAGUUAGUCUUUUCUCUUUGGCCUUCCCUUUGCAAUGAAAGCAUUAAAACCAUAGACUGUAUAUACUAUGGACAACUUGGUUCCAUCUUCCAUCAUUUGAAGCCAAAUUGCUCUCAGUAUUUCUGGGAUGUUCUCCACUUCCUGGAACCACCACUUGCGCAGUAGCGUUGUAUGCAUUUGGUGAGAGAGUCGCUGUGAUGACGUUCAGCUAAGACAACAUAUCCCCCAGGUGAGCUAUGCAGUCCAUAGGCUGUAUCGAAUGUCAAUCAUAGAAAACAUGAACCCUCUAAUAACUUUUAAAAAUGGAGCUGCACAGUAAAAAGAGGACUUGAGCACAAACCAGUCUUACAGUUACUACAUGUCAACAUCACAACCAGGGGGGAGAAAAAUGUAUAUUCUGUGUAAUUAAUUUCUAAAGUUUGUCCACAGCUCCAUAGGGAUUGCUGAAGGAGGCGGGGUUUAUGACCUAUACCACACCAGAGUGUGCUGUUCUCACAGAGGCUUCACCCAGCGAGGAGGCAGCCAUUGUCCUUUCUAUAUACAGUCUACGAUUAAACCCUAACAGAUUUUACUGUUAUUAUCGUGUGUAUUGCUGUUUCUUGUUGACUGAGUAAAGCUCUUUGGCCAACCUUGGUUGUUUUUAAAUGUGCUAUAAGGAUAAGGUAGACUUGAAAUGAUUUUUACAGUAACUUUGCAACACAUUGUUUGCCAUGUAACUUUAAGAUCAAAAACUUAAGCAUCUCUGCUGUUCUGAUGUUAUCUUGAUCAACUGAUUCUUUCUCACUCUGCCCUCCUGUCUCAGCUGCCAUGCGGGCUAACCUUGUAGUUGCCAAAAAAUGGAUACCUUUUUAUAUCAGCAGAGAGUCACGCACAAAGUAGAGUACUACAAAAAUAAGGGUGUCGUUGGAAUUUUCAAUGCUGAAAGAUAACCAAUGAAGAUACAAGGAAGUGUACGCUUACAAAUAUUGCAUAAUAAAUCAUGCAUUUAUGUAUCUAAUAUGAGCUUUGUUGUUUCAGGAACAUUAUGAACAGUGAACAUACCAGUUUAAACACAAAUAAAAGUUAAUAAAAGACACGUAACAGUAAAAGUUUUGGUGUGAAUCACAAUAUAAGGGGGGACAUGAGCUGCUUGGCGGAGGUCUGCGCUCUCUGAGUGCUUUUCUAGUUGUUGUUGGACGAAGCUGUGUGUGCAUUAGAUUGUCAGUAAUUAAUUUCAUUCAAAGUGUAUGGAAGAAAUUAAUUGGAUCAUUCACAUGAUUGCACAUUAAAUUUCUUCUUGUGAUGUCCUAUGAUACAUUACACUUGUUUAUUCUUUGAAGUGUGUGUGAGGUCUGGGUUUACACACCUGGUUGGAGCACAAGAACAAUGAUACAUCGAGCGUUAAUCAUGGAUUUUAUCCACUUGCACGGCAUACAUUUACUCAGGGGACCUGUGUCUCUUCCCACCGCCCAUAUAAUAAUAACUGCUACCUGCCUUAGAUAAAGCAAAACAUCUGUGAAACAGCAGGGUUACUGAGCACACAACACAGACCACCAUUACAAACAGACCACUGCACACUGGGCCCUAUCUUAUACACCUGGGGGGCCAGAUAAGCCUGACAAUAAAGCUGAGUAGUGGGGUGGGUGGGGGUGGGGGUUUAGGGAUUGCUUAGGAGUUGAUCAACCAGUGAAAAAACUCGGCAGGCUUAGGUUGUAAAGGUGGAGGAAGGUGAACGAUACAAUAUAAAAAAUUGCAGGGGGUAGACAGAGGGUAAAUUAAGAAGAGAAGUUUGAUCAGUAUUUGUUUUUUGUUUGUGUCAUUAGGUGUAAUUAUCCCUGAUGUUUAAUUGCUGUGUCUGUCAAGGGUCAAUAAGCCCAAGGAGGCAGAGAGGAAAAAGAGACGUUACCGUGAAAAGAGAGCAAUGGAACACAGAAGUAAUCCUCUACCCUCUUUAUCCUCUUACAAACUCCAGGUUUGCACUCCUGCUUCAGGCUUCAUGUCACAGCUCUCCUCAAUGUUUGUAGAGAACAACAGUUUGGAUUCCGUGUCGACUCAAAGCUGCAGCCAAAUGUCAAUAAGGCCUAAAAUAAACAGCUCAAAUAAAGAGGUGAAACUGAAACAUUAUCUUCAAACUGAAGACAGAGAUGGUGUGAUGAGAUUUAGAGCUGUGAAAUAAUUCACAAUUUCAAUAUUUCUUAUACUGCGUGGUACCACCUUCACAAUUACCCCACUGCCAUAAAUAAGAAAACCUUUUAGUUAUCUGUUUAUCUGUUGGAUGGAUGUCUCAGUAAAAUGACUACAUAUUAUGAAGCUGCACUCAGUUUUUAAAGGAAAAAGAAAGCAAAUUAUUUUUUCAUUAUUUUGUAUUAACCAAAAACCUGCUGCAAAAACAGGAAUAGUGUGUAAUGGGUCCUUCAAACCUGAAGUGUUGCCGUGUGAGGGCUCUGGUGGUGUGAUUUUUCUUUCGGCAUGUCAACAGAUUAUACUGUUCAUGCUGCUGGUGUGAGCAGCAUGUCUCUUGUACACCUCUUGUCUGUCCCAAAUAACAAGAAUUUGGGAAAGUAGAAAGCUUGUUUAUUUGCCUCUGAGGGCCGCUAGUGUAUUCAGGCAAAAAUAGGCCCAAUAAAAAGACAGAAAAUAAAAAAAAGAAGAUAAGUUGAGGGCUUAGUUUCAGCUGUAUUGACCUGGAAACUACAGUAAAGCAGGAAUGACAUUCAAAACAAAAGCCCAAUCAGUUUUUUAUUUAUUUUUUCCUGUGGACAGAUUUCACACAGUGCUUUUAUUUUGAAAGGUUUAUCCAGGACAGCUAUAUGGUAAAGAGAACUCCACGAGAACCUUUUGCAUAAAGACAGUUGUCACAAAAAAAGCUGACAGCAGGUAAAUUGUAUCACUCAUUAAAUAAUCUCUGCUUUGAAAUAAAAUAGACGAGUGCUGUUGUCUGCAAAGUGCUAAGGCUGUCAAACCUGAGAAAUAAGAUGAAGAAGAAGAAGUAUGCAGUGCUGAGAGAGUGAUUUGGCCCUGGUAUUGAAGCGACAAGAAAAGGUUUUGUUGGAUGAAUGUGGACAAAGUGACAUACAUACCAUGUAUCAAAGAAGGUCCUUGAAGAUCACCAUAAGCAACCAUGAUGGGGGAGGUGAGCAAGAGUGUGUCUAACCAUUAGAUAUUUUUAAAUAUACCCCUCCCUACAACGGAGGAGGAUUAGGGCCACUGCGAAAAAAAAAAAAAAUUGAAUCUUUUUUUUUUGUGUAAGUAUUAUUCUGAAAUUAAAGUCAAAAUUCUGACUUGACUUUUUUUUCAGUGGUCCUAAUCCUCUUCCAUAUUCUACACACUGUACCUUAGACAAAUGUUGAAAUUACUGUGGUAUGUUUUGUAUAUUAGCAGUGACUCUUACAUGUGAAUGGAAAUCUUGUAUUGCUUUUUCUCUGCUUCAUUUUCAUAUUUGAAUGUUUGUACCCCCAAAAAACUCAAGAAAUUAAGAUAUGCUUAUGCAACAUGCACAGUAGAUUUAAGUUAUGUUCAAUCAAGAUGUUGACAUAGGCGUUUCACUUGCCCUUGAUUUGAUUAAAUGUAUCCAAAUUUAAUUAUCCAUUGCUGUCCAGUUUAUCCCCACCCUGUACUCUCCUCUUCAAAUUACAGUCCUCUUUCAUAAAUGACACCGUGCCCUAAGAAAGAUGGUGUAGUGCUUUUACGAGCUCAUUAGGAGAACAAUAUUGUACUUUGUGCUAACUCAUUAUGGGAGGAAUUUAGAGCUGCAAACACAAUGUUUGUACAUGUAAUCAAGAGUCAGUGAUGAGGAUGAGAUGAUGAGCAGAUUUUCUGGAUAAAUGAGCACACGAGAGAAUUAGUCCAUAAUGACGCCUUUUAUGGUCAUGCAGCAGAAGUGGGAGGAGGUGGGGGUCAAGGAGUAAGGAGGGGGAGAAAACCCAUGAAGGACAGACUGUGAUUCACUUGGCUGCUUGUAGGUACAGGUGAAGACGUGAGCAAUAAAGAAGGCAUUUUUGAAAAUAACUGCAUAUUAAACUCUGAUGGCUAAACAUGCGAGUGCUCUUAUUUUAAGGAAAAUAUCUCAGUCGCAGAUAUUUUCUGAUUCCUGGUGCCGAUAAAUAAUUUGGUGUUAUCAGUUUUAAUGCACUUGUGCAUUCACUUGUGGGUUCAAAUUUGAAUCAGAAUUAACUGAAUCUGUCAGAGAAGUUAAUUUGGCCUUCACAUGCAUGCACAGUACUUGAUGAUUUCAUCUCCAUGCAUGAUUCAGAGCUUGCCAAAGCUAAAUCCAAUCUUCAGCCUCAGUGUGGAGGAUUGAAACAGUUAAGGUUGUACAAUAAAGUAUUUAAGAAAAAAAAAAUUGCUGAGACCCACUCUCUGAGUCACAUAGAAGCUUAGCUUUAGAGAAAUGAUGGAAUAAAAGAAAUCAGUUCGACAUGGAUAUCCCUUUUUGCAUCAGCCAAGCAUUAGAGAUCAAAUUUUAAAUAAAUCUAAUAGAUUAUGUACGUGUUCGUCUGCCAUGUAAUUUUCUCCAGGCUGUACCUCUAUUUCAGAGGUGAGUCAGCCUUCAAAUUGUGUCAGUUGUCAAUCAACACCAAAGACACAAGUUACCAUGGGAACAGUGGUCACACCAAUAAUUGCCUCAAUAGUCUUUUGAAACAGUGAAAUAUCAGAGUCACAUGUUAGGGUUGGCUUGAAAUAGAGCCUGUGGACCCUCUGAUGUUUCUACCUCAUGUUGUGGUUCUGUUUUUUUUUAAUUUUUGUGAGAAUUUCAUAGAGAGGAGAAAUUAAUCAAAAUGAAAAUAACAACAAGGCGGUGGGCCUAGGAGAACAAAAAGAAAAAGAGAUAUGUCUGUUGUAUUUUUAGGUUCAGCUCUACGAAAUUAAAAUCACUGAUGUCUUUGACAAUCACCCUUUCGUGUCUUUAAAAGCAGCUCUGGACCCUGCCUUACCAAAAGGGGCAGCCCCAUUUUAAGUAAAACCCUUGAGAAAUAAAAACCCAUCAAUCAAAUCACGUCAGCAGUACCAGUUUCCAGUUUAUUCCAUCUCCCCUGUUGGAUUAAAAUUUUUGCAUGCCUCUCAUAUCUCAUCAAUGAUUUAAAAUGACCUGAUUCACUUGUUCUCUUUCUUUAUCUUGGGAGAGAAACGAUACACACAGGGAGAAGCAGAGCGUGUGAGACAGUGAAUUAUGUACAGUAAGUGAGUUGACGCAAACUGCUAAAUGAGAUGGAGUCUAUGAAGGCAGGCACUUCCAACUCAACACAUGCACUUCUGAGUAAAUUAGAAAAAUAACAGUUUUUUUUUUUUUUUUUAUCCUCCAGUGUUCACUUGCUUACCUUGGCUCUUCUUCCUCUCUUCCUCACUCACUCACAAUCUCUAUCUCUUUCUUUCUCUCUCUCUAUUCCUGCUGACAAAGAGAGAACUAAAAAGUGCCAACCCUGUUCUCUCUAAGCUUGAACCCUGUGCGCAGGCGGAAUAUAGAGUUUAGCUUUUAUUUUCCGUGUGACUUUUUGUUCAAUGAGAUUUGAGAAGGUGACUUUUAUCCCUCUGGGAAGAAAAAAAAAAAGAGGAUGCUCUUAUGCUUUCACGCAGACUACAGCAAUUGGUUGGGUGAGAAAAAUAAAAAGGAGGAGGGAAAUAAAAUGAAAAGCUACUGCAUGGGGACCCAUUUGCUUAGUAACUGCUGUCUUUGUAUUUGACUCCUGGACUGCUUACCGGGACAAAAAAAGCAGGCAGAGGGUAUAAUGAAAUACAAAGAUGUAUUAUGGGAUAUAAGUAAUGGAGCCAUGCACCCAGAUAUUUCAAGGCUUACUCUCUACGUUUAAUUUCCUCUUCAGAGAAUGAAAUGACCCACUGUAUUAACCUUGAAGGGGAGAGGGAAGAUGCCUUUCUUUAAGACUAAAAAGAGAGAAUAAUCAUCUCUAGAUUGUGCAGUCACAGAGGACAGAGCUUGGUGCUGAACUCAGGGUUACACUUCCUAACAAAAACAUCCGGGGACAAGCAGCAAGUUUCUAACAUCAAGGUGCAAGUCCGCUGCAUAAGUUGCUCUUCCUUCUUGGCUGAUCAAAACCCUCACGUCCCGCAUGUCUGACAGAAACACCGCAUCCAUUUCUAAUGAGUCCAGUGGGGACAUUUUCCUGAGAGGUUGCCUGUGAGGCUGCCCUCAGGGUCAGGGAAAGACGGGUCACAGGGAUACUUUAAAAUUGUGAUUAGCCCCUCGGGUCAAAGAGGGGUUGAUCUGUAGUGCACCUUGAGGUCCGGUUCAAUAAACUACUCCCAAGUGAGUGUCCUAUUCUCCUUCAUUUCCCCUUUUCCCUUCCCCACAGCAGCACAGUGCAGUGUUUGUUGAUUUUGUUUUGGGGAGACAUUUGGUAAACAAAAGAGUUCUUUGACUUUUUGACUUGGUUGUCCUAAAGACUAUAUAAAUCUGUAAAAGUUGUACAAAUUUAGUUAUCAUAUACCAACAGUUGAAAUUCGGUGGGAGUAUUGUAUAAACCACUGCAUGUGCGUACAUAUAAUAAACCUAAAACUUUUGGGUUCUACCGCCUAUUUCACUAAAAAAAAAAAAAAAAAAAAGUCAAUUCUCUGCUGGGUUUAUCCUUCUAUCAUGUAUCGUACAAGAAAUACUGGACUGGAAUGCUUGCAUUGGUUAUAUGACACAAACAAGAUGCAGCAUUCUGCCAAGAAAACUAGUUUGAACAUAUUGUUCGGAUGUGAAGGUCUGGGCAGUCAGUAUUCUAAAGAUAACAGAAAGCUCUUUCAAAACAAGACUUGGGAAAUAUAAAUCUGGUUCAUCCUGGCAUGUUGACACAAUAAGACAUGUCAAUUAGACAAACUGCGUGAGCACACAGAGCAAACAAUAGAAACAUGAUUUGUGCUCUGUAUCAUAAAGAUGGCAUGCGACUCCUCAGAGUCUCCGAACAAAGUAAAUAACAUCUGAUCUAGCAAGACAACUGACACAGUGGUAUAUAAUCAGCAUUUACCAGAAUGACUAUAUUUCAGCCCUUAUGCAUGUCCAUAAAAAUCCUAACUCCUUAAAUAAUAUUGAUUUCUCCAGAAAAAUACAACCUAAAAUAGUAAAUUCUAAUGAAAAAGACAAGAGUCAUUAAUUUUAGGCUCUUGGCAAACUAACCCCCAGUUUCCGCCACAUCCGGAAUGGCAGCUAAAAGGCUGUAUGCGCUAAUAGCAGCUGAUGGUUUCCAUUCAAGUUAAUGGGCUCUGUUUUCGUGCCUCGCCGAAGACGUGCCGCAGGCGCAGCGUAAGUCAGGUCCGCCGCGCCGACAUGGCGUUCCCAAGCACAAUUUGGUAUUUUGGUGAGCGGCGCAGCCUGGCAUAAGUAUCCCCCCUCCCUAACUCAGCUCCUCCCAGCGGCGUAAGGGAGGGUCACUUCAAGGGAGGAGAGAGGGCGGAGAGUGGAUUUAACACAGCCGAGACCUGUAUUGACCAAUCACAUAAGCUCCUCUCAUUGCCUUUAAAUCCGCCACCGGCGAGGCGUAUUCCAAUUUUAGUGAAGUAGUCAAAGAGAUCAAGAGAUGUCUGAAGACAGUUCUGCCACACGAUGGCGACAGAAGGCAGCUUCUCAACAAGUGUUGCUGUAAACGCUGCAGAGGGCGUCCUCCACACUCUCUCAUAUGAGAACAGAUGGAUUUGGUGUGUGUAAUGUUGGACCCAUUGGUAAGCACAAAAAUGUCACUGCGCCAGCUGAUUCUGUCGACACCUCCCCCUGCCACGCCACCACGCCCAGCUUGGCAGACCUCGGUGUGCCUCAGUCCACGAAAAUACCAAACUGGCUGUACGCCGGGCUCUGCCAGAUGAAAAUACAACUGUGCGGGGUCUGCCGCCUCACCAGCGUACACGAAAAUAGAGCCCUGAAAGUUGAUUUGAUGUUAUAAUGUUUAUGUUGACCUAAAUGUUAAUACAAGGAAUAGUUGAUAAAACCUUCACCUCCAGUAAAGUUAGUCACAUUUAGUAUUUAGUGUUUUUACUGCUUAAGUUCACUGCCAAAAUGCAGCACUGUGGCAGCGAAAAACAUUGACACUGAGAUAAAAAGACUGGUUGUGCCUCAGCCAUGAAUAUCCUGCCUUACAAAAGCCAGCUGUUGUUUCUAUACUAGACCUUGAUAAGCUGUUUGAGGGCAGAAAGAGAUGCUUCACAUUGAGUUAAAUGUGUUUAAAAGAUUUCAUCAUCAAUAGGCGAAGGUUGAGGUUGUUAACUUGAGAAAGAUCAAAGAUACAAACCUUGCUUGUACAGAGCGAUCUAAAAUAACUUCUGGAGCUUUUGUAGAUUUUUGUAGAUAAUGCAUGGACCCUCAUGAAUUUAAGAUGCUUGGACUGAACCCUUUACUGGACUAGGAUUGUGGUGACCCUCUCUUUAGCAGGAGGGAUGGGAGCGGGAGGGUGAGUGAGCUUCAUACGUCCAACAGAUCGAAACAUUGAUUUUAAUAUAAACUUCUAUUCAUUUUGAACAAAAUUAACAGGUUACCUGAGAUAACCUCUUUGUCAACAGAAGAGUUUGGGACAAGGAGGAGAGAAGUUGGACAACUUAAUUGUAGAGACGCAUUAUGGCAUAACACUAAUCAAGAGGGUCAGCUCUCAUCCACUUCAAACGCCUGGGGAAACUGCAGGCCAGCACACUGCAAUUGCUGUUGUCAGAUAUCCUGGGCUCCAGCUGCAGAACAGUCACAAGUCAGUGUGUUAUUAGCAGAUUUAGCAGGUUUAACAAACAGUUUGCACCAUUAAAAGGCGACUGGAUGCUGUGUCAUUCAAACACAAAACGUAUUUUAUUCAUGAUUAAACUUUCCAACAGACUCAGACAUCAUUAGAACCUAAAUGCUGUUCUGUGGGCUUAAAAGAAGGGCUCUAAAUAUUAAUUUAUGUGUUGUGUGCUGCUAAAACAUAGAUUUAUUCUGUACAGGACACAUAAUCGACACUGUGUAGUUAUGCUAAUAAGUGUGGAAUGUUAAAUUAACAUGAACAAUGUUUUAUGUACGCGUACUUAUCAGUGUAUUUGUGUCUGUGGGCAUGAUGGAGAGCUUGGUGUUGGUCUUCCCUUUUAGCCUGGGCAGGAAUCUUCCUGAGGUGUCAUAGGCCUGUAAAGGGUAGCAGUGAUCAUGUCCUCCCAUGCCCCAUUGAUUUUCGCUGUACACUAAUUCCUACGGGAUCCGUUUGUGAAGUGAAUUUCGUGGCGGAUUACGGACAGCAGGAAUCGCAACACUCACAAGAACCCGCAGAUUUAUGUGCAAUCACGCAUUAACAAGUUGUCUUUAGCCACAUAGGCUAACCAUAUAAGCAUUAGACUGUGUCCUUCCAGAGAAGAAAAUCUACUUCUAGACUUAUAACAUCUGCAUCCCCUCAUCCAUGGUGUCAUCUGGAUAAAAUGUUGUCUAUAAACCUUUUACUUGUUCGUCCCCGCCCACGUUUGCAUGGUGUGAAAUAUGAUCCGCCUGAAACACAGAGCGUUUUAUUUUGAAAAGAAGCCGGAUGUUUUAAUUUGUGUCUGUGCCAGAUUUCCUUUCCAGCACAGGUUAAUCUGGGUUGAAUUUAUCUGGCAUGCUCCGGCUUCUGGAAAAAACAGAACUCUUGCGGUCAGCUGCAAAGUCCUGUGAUCCGCAGCGGAAUGGAAAGAAGCCGGUGGAAAUUAGCACAUUAACUUGAAUGGUUAUGAUUAGCUAUGAUCUGCGGAUACGGCCUUUUCAUAGCCAUUCCAAUCUUUGGGUACAUUGAAACAUACUUUGAUGCUUCCAACACUCCUAGCUGAAAUCAGUGCAACUACAGAGGGAAAAUGGUUCCUCAAGGCCAACCACUUACAUGUCAAGAACUACCCUGUUGAAAAAAAGUCUACAAUUUAAUCAGAACUAAAGGAUCUGGAGCUGAAGGAUGCCCUCCUCUUUUUUAUCUGCUGUGAGGAGGCUGCUCAGCUCCCUGCACUAACAAUAACAGAACAGCCACAUUACACUACCUAGCAGUAUGCUCCAUGUUAACAGAUGCCUCUGAUAGUUUCUUGUCAAGAUUAUCCGUGCUGCUUGGGGCUGACUUGUGUUUUUUGGAGGAUGGUGAGAAGUGAAGUUAACAAAUGACAAAACAGGCCGAGCUAAUCAUGGUUCGGGCCCCCUGAUACGGAACUGCACAGACACGUCCUCCAGCUAGUGUGCUAUAAUGCAUCUCUCUGGCUGUUUUCUGUUAACUCUGCUCUUUCAAGGCCAUCCAUUCUAUGGUGCCUGCCUGACGUUGCUGCAGUCUUCCCAGCCUGCUCCCUACCCCCCCAACUACCUUUACAAUCCGUCUGCUCAGUUCUGGUGCUCUCUUUUCUGUAGAGCCAGAAGGAGAAAUAUAGCUGUCUUCUCAACAAAGCCAAAAAAAAAAAAAAAUCCACCUUGAGUUGUCUCUGCCAUUUCACUGGAGACAUUUUCCAGAAAGAAGACAUUAUCUGUUCCAUUGUCCUGUGUUCAUGAUUCUGUCCUGAUUACAUACAAGGAGACUCCCGGCACAUGCUCCAGCACAUCUCAAAUGCUGACUGCGACACUUUCCUUUCCACACUGAUUCCCUUUUUAUUGCUCAUUCAACAACCUCCAGCAAUGGAGAUUGCACUACGUGGCAAGAUGGUGUGUAUCCUCACCCAUUCAGCGGCUGUCAGGACACUUUAUCAUUCUGAUGGUUUGGUCAAGUGAAGACUGGUUGGGCCCUAACUGCUUUCUCUCUGACCUGCAAGCCAUACACUCCGUAAGAGAUAAAAACGCAGAGGUUUCACAGACAGAGAUACUGUAUUCUGCUGAAAAGAAAAUCAUACACUGAGGAUAGUGUGAAGCAGGGAUGUUUCACCACUAUCAAUGUCAUCCAUCAUGCUGUACACGGUUUAUUUUUUUUACCUUCAAAUGUUCAGCUUAAGUCCAGCAUCCAGCAGCUACAGCAACCUGUCAAGGAACUUCAAAAUCCAGGUCUUUUUUGUUUUGCUUUUUAUGAGUGUGUCGUUCAGGAUGUACAAACAAACAUCAAAGUUAAUCCCCUCAGCUCCCAGUUGACUGAAAUGUUGUGUUUUCUUUAACUAAGGGAAAGCUUAAUAUAUUGGGACAAUGUCUCUGUAGACCUCUGAUUACCACACUGGAUAGCUCAUCUAUAACCUUUUAUUUCUGUUUAUGUUCCACUCUGGCCGUGCCGUGCCAUAAUCUGAGAGGCACUAAAAGGAAAUAAACAGUCCUCUCAAGAUACGCCUAUUUAUACUCGAAAUCCCCUUUUUUAGAGUACACACUUUCUUUCCAUAUCUACAGAAAUACUGUGACUAUAUUAACAUAUUUUUUGUACCGACUACAGCAGCUUAAAGGCCGUUAACACACCUGUGGUUAAGGGUACAGUGUAAAAAAACAUACUAGUUAAUGGCUAAUAUCCUGCAUUACAUGACAGACUUUGGCUUGCGUAACUUCAAAGUUGCUGCAGUUUGCUCAGUAAAGGUUUUACAAGAUUGUACAAGAAAGAGUUCCUACUUCCCUACUAAGGCUCUAUUCAAAAAUGGUCUUUUCUGGUGAGAGUUAAUAGUAUGCAUUUUAAACAUAAUUUCAUCAUACAUACACCAAGAAGCUUUUAGUUACUGUAUGGGAGGUCAUGUCUAAUUACCUUCCUCACUAAAGUGUUGUACAUUUACAUUCCUGAAAGCCACUAAGAAGCUGUUCAUGGUGUGUGACACUUUAGCAAUGCAGCCAGAAUAAUGAUGCUCCAAUAAUGUGUGACAUGAACCUUUUUGUAUACAAAAAAAGAUCCAUCUAUGUAUUCCCUGAAUAAAAGCAUCAGUGCGAGAAUUUACGAAGAAGAUCAAAGAGCAGUCGGAAAACAAGAUGCUGGGGGGAGGUGUGUGUGUGUGCGGCAAGUCUUUGGGGGCACGCAGUGUAAUUUAAAUGAUUUGGCAGAAAGAAUGAUGUCUCAAAAAUUCAAAUGGAGAUCACAGGCGUGUAAAGAUAUUUGAAUUUUUUAAGUUCAAGGAGGUUUCCGAAUUCGUUUGAUGUUCUGAGUUUUUUUUACUUUUAUUGAGAUUCAAACUUUUCUCACCCUUUCAUGUUCAAGUGACUUUUGCUCUCAAAAAGAGCCAUUUUUAACUGUGUCCUUAAACUGAUACUUGAACAGCAUACAAAGCUCAUGAAAUCAAUGUGUGAUUUACUCUUGUUACAUAUCCUAUAUUUCUUUCUUUCACAGAAUUAGGCAGUUUGCUGUUAAAGUAAUCUCUGGCCAUGUCGGUUUAGAACUUUUAAACUCAAAAUGGCCCGUCACCUUAAAAUCUUAAGAUAUUAUCCUUGAAUGCCUUUUCAGUGUUAUUAAAAAAUAAAAAGUACAAUUUUAAUCUCUGAUAGAAAUGCUACUAACCCCCCCCCCCCCCCUAUUUAUUUAUUUAUUUAUUUUUUUUGCCGGUGAGGCUUAAAAAGCAGUGGUGCUGUGAUGAGUUUUAAAGUGGGGUGGCACUGAGAGAGGUAACAUACACCCACUUAUACCUGGCAUUAAGAGAUGUUUUCUAUGAUCAGAUUGCAAUGGGCUCUAUGCACAGCUCCACUAUUUCCUGAAUUUAAGGCAGCUGCUUUAUUUCCUGUCUUACAUUUUUGAACAAACUGGUUAAUCCAGGUGUGCCCUGGUAGUCACAACGAGCUGCCUUAAGUUCAGUAAGUAGUGGAGCCGUGCAUAGAGCCCACUGGGUUGCACUUGACCGCAAACAUUUACAUCUGGUAUAUGUGGCCAGUCUGCAUAUUGCUAUCUGAAUGUGAUGUGUUGGCACCAUAGACUGUAUAUACUAUGGACAACUUGGUUCCGCCUCCCGCCUGUAAACGGAUUUGAAGCCAAAAAGCUCUCGAUAUUUCUGGGAUUUUUCUUCAUUUCCUGAAACCAGAGCUGCGCAGUAGCGAUGCGCGCAUUCGGCCGCGCAGUCGCCAAGAGUCGCUGUGAUGACGCUCGGCUCAAACAGCGUAUCCCCCGGGAGAGCUAUGCAAUCCCUGAACGCCCAUAGGCUGUACCUCAAGUUUACCUCAAGAAAACUUGUGUUGUUGGGAGAGGGAGUAGGGGGGGGAAGGGGUCCUUCUCUAUUGAAACUGCUCAUCUUCAACAAAAAGUAGAAUCCAAUACAAAGUUUACAAACUACAAAGUACUGGAUGACAGUAACAAUAUUUCUUUUAUGGGGUAACUAAGUAAAGUAACGCACUACACUUAAAAAUCUGUAACUUAAAGGGAUAUUCCGGCUAGAAUUAACUUAAUUUCUUGAUCGAUAUACUUUUGUGAUCUAAGGCUGGUAAUAUUCAUGCUAUGUAGCCUUGUAUUCAUGAAUGCGUCUGGCUGUGUCAUGAGCAAAUAUCAAUAUACUUAAUAAUGCACAUGGCGUGAUAUUGGAGGAUACUUUUAGAAGCCAUACAAAAUUAACUACAGGAUGAGUGAGAUGUAAACAACUGACACAGCAACAGUGAGGAAGGUUACUUGUAUAUUAAUGCUAAGAUCAAGGCAGAAAAAAAUGACAGAUGAAGCAACAUAGGUGGUAUUUAUGUUUGCACUCGUCUCAUCAGCUUCAAAGCUUUGCCUCAUUUUAACCCCUGCUGCUGUCAGCUUUGUUAAAUCCACUCUGUCUCUACACCGUCUCUGCUGUUUAUGUACAUACAGCAACCUGUGUCUGCCUCACAUUAAUGCAAUGCAAUGAGGUAAUUCCUUUCUGUCUCAGCUUAAUUUACAGGUUUGUACAACUGCAGUGUGGUGAGAGAGGCACUCCCUCUGCUCUCGCUUCUGACCCAGGGGCAUUUUUUGUGAGCUCAGUGGUUCACAUGUAUGCAGCUUAGAAACUUUGACAGAAAAUGAGAGCCUUAUGUUGACUCAGACAUGACUUGCCGCUGGGUAAUUAUGCUACAUUACAUUAGAUUUCAUCAGGAAAUAUCAGUGUAUAAAGUCUACAUGAGAAAGGAUGAAAACUUUGUCUGAAGGCUGAAUGUCUAUUUUAAAAGUUGUUACUACUUUCUCACCCUAACGUCUAAGCAGGGGCUCAAAAGUCUUGGUGUUUCCCCAAUUUUUGGCACAAGAGUCCAAAAGCAUUUUAUAUUUAGAACACUAUAUACUAAUUUCAGCAUACCAAGGGGCAUGACCUACUAAGAUCCAAAAUAGCAAGCGCUAAAUUGCGUGUGCUAACAGGAAUUGCAUGUGCUCUUAGUGGGCAUGUUGCGAGUGAACUACUAUCAUUUGGUGCAAUUGAUAGCGGGUGCAAAAGUGGUGUGGACCACCCUCUUUAAACGAGGAUUUUGCGUGCGCCAUCGGCUGUCACCAUGGAGAGUUUGUGAGAGCAGAGUGUUUGAAGCCAUGGAGUUGCACAUAUCGUAUUGGGGAACUGCAUAAAAGGCAAGGCAAGUUUAUUUGUAUAGCACAAUUCAUACACAAGGCAAUUCAAAGUGCUUUACAGAUGCAAGAAGAUAGACUAGUAAUCAAAAAAGAGAUUAAACGAUUUAAAAUAAGACAAACAGAUACAUUUUUUCGUCUGUUUUGUGUUUGACGUUGUUAUAUAUGAAAAUCGUCAUUUACCAGAAAAACGAAAUAAAUCACAAUCAUGGCACUUCUGCAUCCUUCUCUCCACAAUGACCGCAUGUAAUGCUGCUCCAGUUUGCACAUGACUUUCAAAUGUGCUAAAUAUAGGCGCAGAACAGCGACCGCAAUCGGUUUCCGGGUUUGAUAAAUCACAGUGCGGGUGCUAAAUGAUUCCAUUUGCAUCUGCUCCUCCCAGAAUUUUGUGCGUUCUGAUGAUCUACAUACAUUCUGCAUAUUCAUGAAGGCAAACAUGCUAAAUCGAUUGCGCAUGCUGUUUUGCUCAUUUGACAGACGCAAUCCUCAGUGCACCCAGUUAGUAGAUCAGGUUUGCGUGCGCUAUCAAGUUCGCACAUGUUUUUGCACACGCAAACCUUUAGUAGAUUAAGUCUGCACUGCAAAGUAUAACUUAAUAUUACACACCAUACCUUUAAUCCUACAAACUUUCUACACAGAGAAUUAGAUCAGCCAUUAGGUAUGAGCAAUUUCUCUGUGCUUUCAUCAAAGCUGUUGAAAGGACCCCAAAAAAAAAAGAAAAAAAAAAAAUGCGAAAAAAGGAGCGAUGCAGACAAUACAUGCAGUCCUGUUAGUAGUAAAAGCCUAGAUUAUUACUCUGUGCAAAUAACAGCAGGUGCAGCUGUUUCCAAUUGUGCAGCUGACUCACUCAGGCUUUCAUGCAAAUGAAGUCUGCAUUGUCUUUUCAUCUCGUCCACCAGAUGGGAGGAUCAAGUUGAAAGGAAAAUAAAGUUUUGCAGGUGUAUUAAAGUCCAGGCAUGCGCAGUAAAAUACAUGAUGGGACCAUAAAUCAGAUCUUUUUUUUCCCCUUUUCUCCUUGUACUUGUUUUAUGCAUCAUCACACUGUCAGCAACAGCACUGUGUGUAAUGUCCAAAUAUAAUACCAGUCUAAGAUAUGGUUGAUAUAAGAGCUGAAGUGUAUCAGGGAAUACAUUUAUACACAGACGUGAAGCAAAUAUAACCUCUUCUAAACUUCUUAACUUAUAGCUGCUGCAUUAUUAUGCUUCCCACCAUGACUGAUCUUCAGAAUAUUGUCUUGAAAGAUCAAUUUAUCACUUAGUAAGUAAAAUGUUAGAAGAGGUGUAAAAUACUCAUUUAUAUUUAUACAUUUCCUGAAGUGCAAGGUGAAGGUAUUGAUUUCAUGUUUAAAUCUGGCUUGCCUGCCCAGAGGUCCAAAACUAUGUCUGUUUAAUGUCAUUUAUUACAGGAUUAGACACUGUGAAUGGGAGGUAAAUCCUCUGGAAGCAGCCAUAACUCUAAUUACCUCCGCCAAGGAGGUUAUAUUUUCGGUAGCGUUGGUUUGUUUGUUGGUUGGUUUGUUUGUUUGUCUGUUAGCAACUUUACGGAGAAAGUUACAGACGGAUUGACCUGAAAUUCUCACCAGAGGUGCGUCUCAGCCCCAGGAGGAUCCCAUUACAUUUUGGUGGUGAUCCGGAUCGCCUUCUGGAUCCAGGAAUUUUUUGAAGGAUUCUUUAUCAUUGUGAGAGAGGGCAAAUUUGGGAAUUUUUGCAUUUAACUCUAUAAAAAUGGCCAGAGUCUUUAGUAAAAAAUUACACAAAAGGAUCUCAAUGAGUUUUAUGAGGUGUCAAAGGUUGAUCCUGAUCCAGACAAAAUUCCGGAUACUGUGAUCCAGAACACACAAAAAUAAGGGUGUCAUUGGAAUUUUCAAUGCUGAAAGAUAACCAAUGGGCGGCACAGUGGUGUAGAUGGGUGGCACAGUGGUGUAGUAGUUAGCACUGUCGCCUCACAACCAGAAGGUCAUGGGUUCGAAUCCGGGUCAGGGCAUUUCUUGUUUUAGGAACAUUAUGAACAGUGAACAUACCAGUUUAAACACAAAUAAACGUUAAUAAAAGACACGUAACAGUAAAAGUUUUGGUGUGAAUCACAAUUUAAGGGGGGACAUGACCUGCUUGGCGGAGGUCUGCGCUCUCCGAGUGCUUUUCUAGUUAUCUGAUUAUUUUUUGCUUAAAAACGACUGAAAUGACUGAUUAUCAAACUGCUGCAAAACUUAAUUCUAACUGACUGUGAAGGUAAUCCUAUUCUUGCAAUAUUUCCAGGAUGGCAAAGUCCCUAAUUUUACGGGUCAAACAAGUUGCUUAUUAAGCAAAACAGAAGACAUACAAUCAGUGUUGGGGGUAACCAUAGACUGUACACUCACCGGCCACUUUAUUAGGUACACCAUGCUAGUAACGGGUUAGACCCCCUUUUGCCUUCAGAACUGCCUCAAUUCUUCGUGGCAUAGAUUCAACAAGGUGCUGGAAGCAUUCCUCAGAGAGCUUGGUCCAUAUUGACAUGAUGGCAUCACACAGUUGCCGCAGAUUUGUCGGCUGCACAUCCAUGAUGCGAAUCUCCCGUUCCACCACAUCCCAAAGAUGCUCUAUUGGAUUGAGAUCUGGUGACUGUGGAGGCCAUUUGAGUACAGUGAACUCAUUGUCAUGUUCAAGAAACCAGUCUGAGAUGAUUCCAGCUUUAUGACAUGACGCAUUACCCUGCUGAAAGUAGCCAUCAGAAGUUGGGUACAUUGUGGUCAUAAAGGGAUGGACAUGGUCAGCAACAAUACUCAGGUAGGCUGUGGCGUUGCAACGAUGCUCAAUUGGUACCAAGGUGCCCAAAGAGUGCCAAGAAAAUAUUCCCCACACCAUGACACCACCACCACCAGCCUGAACCGUUGAUACAAGGCAGGAUGGAUCCAUGCUUUCAUGUUGUUGACGCCAAAUUCUGACCCUACCAUCCGAAUGUCGCAGCAGAAAUUGAGACUCAUCAGACCAGGCAACGUUUUUCCAAUCUUCUAUUGUCCAAUUUCGAUGAGCUUGUGCAAAUUGUAGCCUCAGUUUCCUGUUCUUAGCUGAAAGGAGUGGCACCCGGCGUGGUCUUCUGCUGCUGUAGCCCAUCUGCCUCAAAGUUCGACGUACUGUGCGUUCAGAGAUGCUCUUCUGCCUACCUUGGUUGUAACGGGUGGUUAUUUGAGUCACUGUUGCCUUUCUAUCAGCUCGAACCAGUCUGGCCAUUCUCCUCUGACCUCUGGCAUCAACAAGGCAUUUCCGCCCACAGAACUGCCACUCACUGGAUAUUUUUUCUUUUUCGGACCAUUCUCUGUAAACCCUAGAGAUGGUUGUGCGUGAAAAUCCCAGUAGAUCAGCAGUUUCUGAAAUACUCAGACCAGCCCUUCUGGCACCAACAACCAUGCCACGUUCAAAGUCAAUCAAAUCACCUUUCUUCCCCAUACUGAUGCUCGGUUUGAACUGCAGGAGAUUGUCUUGACCAUGUCUACAUGCCUAAAUGCACUAAGUUGCCGCCAUGUGAUUGGCUGAUUAGAAAUUAAGUGUUAACGAGCAGUUGGACAGGUGUACCUAAUAAAGUGGCCGGUGAGUGUAUAUACUAUGGACAACUUGCUCCCGCCUUCUGCUAGGAUAUGGAUUUAAAGGCAAAAAGCUCUAAGUAUUUCCAGGUUUUUUCUCCACUUCCUGAAACCAACAUUGCGCAGUAGUGUUGUACACACUUGGCUGGAGAGUCGCAGAGAGUCGUUGUGAUGACGCUCUGCUCAAACAGCGCAUCCUCCGGGUGAGCUACGCAAUCUUCGUAUGCCCAUAGGCUGUAAUCAAGUGUCAAUCAUAGAAAACAUGAACACCCGCUGCACAGAAAAAAGAGGACUUGAGCACAAACCAGUCUUACAGUAACUACAUGUCAACAUCACAAGCAGGGGGAGAAAAAUCUAUAUCCUGUGUAACUAAUUUCUAAAGUUUGUCCACAGCUUCAUAGGGAUUGCUGGAGGAGGAGGGAUUUAUGACCUAGACUGCAGCCUGUCACCAGAGGGUGCUGUUUUUACUGUGGCUUCACCCAGCAAGGAGGCAGACGGCGUUCAUUCUAUAUACAGUUGAUGGGGGCAACACACUACAAAGUAAGUGAUUACAGUUAGAAUAGCACUUUUUGGGGGGAACGAAGUUAAGUAACACACUACACUAACAAAUCUGUAACUUAAUUACUUUACUAUACAAUAGGAAUGCGCCUUUCUGCGUUACAUUAGCUGUGUCUCCCUGUGUGCAAAGUUCUGAUCUGUUGAGGUGGUUCAUGUUUGUGUGCUACAUGUGUGUCUGUGAUAAUAGGCAGGGGUUUGGUGCUCAUAAGGAUUAAUCUUUAGCUUGUCUCUGUACGCUCUUCUUUCACAGGAUUAAUUUUUCUUGGGUGUUUUUUUUCUCACUGUGUCGCUAUUUCGCAGCCUCCCUGUCGAAUGUAAACAAAAAGUUGCCUGCAAAGAUGCCACUUUCCGACCCAACAUACAUUACGCAGUCAUGUGGCCUUUGAAAGUCCGAUGCAGAGAUGGAUUUGAGUGACAUAGCUGCUACUUACUUUGGCUAUAUUAGUCAAAAGGACACAAAUAUUCGUGUGAAAUUAAGUCUAUGCUCAGGCGACAUUUAUACAGUAAACAAAAUUAUGUGGACUAUGCUCAGUGAUGAUUGGGCUAUGAUGUUUGUCCAUGUACCUCUACAGGAAAUAAAGAAAUGGGGAAGUAAAGUAAUAAGCAGUGAAGUUACUUUCCGAAUGCAGUAUCUUAUUACGAUUAACUAAUUAAUGAGUAACUAGUUACUGGUGACAGACUUUUUGUGAGUAACUACGCCAACACUGCAUACAAUAUAGCACAGGUGUAACAGGACCUCAACAGUCAGCUAGAAUAAUUAAACACACAACGACUGAAAUUGGAGAGGCGAAAAAUUAACAUAAAUAGCAUUUCUGAAAAACACAGGAUGCUCUCUGUCUUCCAUGUCUCUUUCUUGAUAUCUGGUGCAGUUAAUAAUGAUAUGUUCACCUGUUUGCAUCCCACACAUGGAGGAAAUCUAGGCCAGCCAAGCCAACCAGUUAAGCAAUUGUCUUUUUUCUUGCUUUUUUCUGAUAUUAUCUUGAAUAAAUAAUUAAAGCGAUGAACUCUUACUUUCCUUCCCUUGCAACUUGUUUAUGUGUAAUAAGCAAGCUGUAGACUAGAAGUCUGAGCCUUUUCAGAGGAUGCAGAUCAAGCCAGCACUUUAAUACUCCAUCAGUGGCGGCUGCUGGUCUUUCAAGGAGGGGAAGCUAAUUUUUUUUCUGGCCUACAUCAUAAAUGUGUUUGUUUAUUUAUAUGUAAAUUCUACCCUCUGUUCCUUUUCAACAAAAUGAUCUGUGACCCUGUUGUGGCAGAGGAGGGUCGCCAAACACAACACUAGUCGUUUUUAACAAAGACAAAGUCGCUAGAGCUCAGUAAAGUCUCUGAAUCAGUUUGGAACAACAGAAUGAAAAAAUUGGAAAAUGCUCCAGUGGAUGUUUAUACUGAUUCGCUAAUUUAGCUGUCAAUCAAAAAGGGAUUGCGUCUCAGACGGACCAGCCCAUUGACCCAUAGACCCCCAGAGAUGCUGCGCGUUCUUGGGCGGGACAAACCCAAGCAUUUAUCCAAUGACUGUCCAGUUUCAUGUAAUGGAAAAACGCACUCUACGGUUCCCCAUUGAAGUCAGUAGACACCCAGCAUCAGACUGUGUAAAGCACUGUGGCGCUGCAGGAAUGAAUGAGAAGGAAGUAGUGUCGGUUUUCUGUGAUAAUUAGCUGAUUCUGAACAAAAUGCGUUCUGGCGCAUAGUUCCUUUUAGAAAGAGUGCCUUUAGUCAAGCCACUUUUUCUGUUCGUGCUUCUCACACCUGGAAUUCAAUACCAAACACAAUACGUGAACUCCCGACUCUGACCUCUUUUACCAAACAUCCUAAAGCUUGGCUAUUGGAAGAACAACACUGUUGCCACAACCGUGCCUGAACAUGUAUAUUUGUUUAAUGCUAGCUAAUUGUUGGGGUACCAUCCGCAAUUUCUACAGAGUACAUACAUAAACAUCACUGCUUUAUUAUUAUUCAUUAUUACUACUACUCCCUCUCCCCCAUUAAUAUUUUUACUAUUUAUUAUAUCUUUAUUUACUUUUUAGGCAUUAGGACCACAUGCAAGGCAUGCACUUUAUACUCUGAGUAUUGUGCAUUUAAAAUAGCACUUUACAUUUACUGUGCAAUCGGGCAAUCUGCAAUAUAACUACGCACCUAACACUUUAGCACUUCAGCACUCUGCACUUUAAUCAGCCCUUUGACAACUCAUUUUAGCAUUUAACGCUAGUGAAGUACAUAUGGUCCCCUGACCCUUGGCCUGUAUGUUUCAUGAUCCACUAUCCUUUCAUUGUUCUUGCUUUUAUUUUUCAUUUUCUGUCCUAUUGUGUUUUCAAAGACACGUUUUCCCUCUCUGUAAUUAUUCCCCCUGCUCAUACUGGCCAUGAAGGCUAACUGUUCUACUUGUUGUUACUGUAGUUUUAUUGAUUUUAUUAUCUUAUGUUGUCAACAUCAACCUGCUGAAGGGAUCUAAAGAUGGAAAUUAGCCGUUGGCUAUAAUCUUGCAUAUUAACAUGUAUAUGUUUAUUAAUAUGUGUUGUCCCUGGUUUAAAUAAAUAAACUAAAACUAAACUAUUUAGUCAAUGAAAUGUACACACAGCAGUACAUAUUCCACCACUUUUUUUACAUUUCAGGGAAAGCUGAGCUUCCCUUGCAGUCUGAGAGCAAUCACCACUGUACUACAUUUACCUGUUUUUAUUUACUCCUGUAGCGUUAUCAGGCUGAAGUACUGUACCAUUUCUGACCUGGGAAUAGUCAGAGAUUUAAUGUAGUAAAAGUGAUCAGGUGGAUUUAAAAAUCACUACAAAGUAUAAGGCAGCCAGUGUAAGUUGGUUGAGACAGGAGUAGUUUGAUCAUGUGUCUCAGUGUUCAUCAUUCUUAAGGAAGACUGAACUGGUAAAAUCCAAAGAGACCAAAAAACUUGGGCAGUCAACAGCUAGCUGUAGGCUGUGUGAUAGAGCUAUGAUGCCAGCUGUCACUCCCUUUAGGAUUAAGAGGUUAUUUAAUGUGAGGCACAGUCUCAUCUCCGCCAGUCGUCUUUGAACUAUUAUCAAAGACACAUAAGGAGAGAACAUUUGAGGCUGUUUUUCUUCUACAUAACGGGGUUGUGGGUGUUAGCACAUACACAGUAAUUUGUAGAAUAACUUACACCAGGCCUGUGUACUGCAUCCAAUCAGGACAUGCUUUUCUCUCCAAGCUCCAUCUGUCGCUGAGGCAUGCCACUGUGUGCAUGACCCCAGCUAUGUGGGUGAGCUUUGGUGAGACUGUUAAGAGUUCUGAGGCCCAAAGCAGGAGAGAUAGGAGGAGUUGAAGACCUUGGCACGAGAACCUUUGUGGCUGACGGAGAGGGAAGAGUAACAGAUGCUUGGGUAAUCUUCAUGUAAUCUUCAAUAACACCCCUUAAAUUAUACAAAUAGUUUACUUUUUAAAUACAGCACAAGAGAGAAAUAUUGAGGAAAAGUACUGCAUGAUAUUUUUAUGCAGUGUAGAAUAAUUUAAGUAAAGUCAUGAUGCGGCUAAUUUGGUUGUGACUUUAGGUCAGAACGCUAGUUUUGUAUGUUCAUGUUAUUGGGUCAGCUACAACUUUGCUUGUGAGGAAGUUUACUGCUUUAUAGAAAUAUGAGAAAAAUUAUAUCAUUAACUCAUCGUACCAGGCUUCAGUGCAUAGAAGUUUUUUGUAAAUUCACAGUUCAAUAAACAUACUUUAUUGUGUUUGCAUUAGGAAGUUUUGAUGUUUUAUUUUACCUCCUGGAUCUCUAUCAGAAGGAAAUGGGAUGCAUAAGAAAGUAACCUCACCGUUUUUGGUUUCUUUACACCAUACAGUAUUUGCUGUUCCUAUAGAGGUUGGAGAAUAAAUAGCUAAAAGACAGGUAAAAUCUCUGCAGCUUGUGUACAACACGGCACAGAGCCAGAUCCACUACAACAAAUCACCCAACUACUGUAGGAGGUGUACAAUACCCAGGAAGAAAUAGUCUACGAAGCAAAACCGUCUCCUGCAAGUAUGCAAGCUAUCUCAGACUACAUGUGAAAGCCAAAACCACAGCAAAUGAAGAGUUGAAAGUUACACAACUGAUCUUACAGCUUCACAGACAUAUUUUGAUCUAUUUCCUUGAAAAAAUAUUCAAACUUUUAAUUUAGAUUUUUGUUCGAUUUUUAUUCAAUGAAAACAUGUUAUCAUCUGCAGUUGUUCAGCUUUCCCUGAAGGUCCAAAAUGUGUCCAUAAAGCCAAAGUACAUAUCAAACUGUGUUGCAGCGCACCCCUAAUGUUUGUCUACUGGCAAUUCAUCUGCAGUCGGCACAAACCCCUGAAUGUGCUCGCCAGGUUUACAUGCCCACAGGAAGACUUUGAGAAGCUGCGCCACAGAGUUAAUGCUGAAUCAACAACAGCUAAAGUAUAACUUCAGGCCUCCUGAAUUGCUAAUCAUGAAGUCGUAACAAGACCUCAGUUUGAUCUUUGAGAGCCUUAAAGGAGCCCACAGCGUCCCCUGGUGCGUUCAUUUCUAUUAAACCACAUCUCUAUGUUCUCCAUUUGCACUGAAGUCAAGGAGAAGUCACAGAGGGGGUUUAGACCAUCACCCACGUCUCCUUUGAUCUAAAUUUCCCUAUUUGGUAGUUUCAGCACUGUGUGUGCCAAAGUGCAUUGUGUACCAAAUAUGCUGUGUUUCUUGGAAAAAUAACAGUGACACCAAAAGUCUGCAGUAGGGAGAGGUUAAAAAGCAAUCAAGUCUUUAUGACUUUGAUUUGAUUUGACCACAGGAGAACAACGACUUCUAUCCUUAUGAUAACCUCAUUAAGUAAGGCUGACUUUUAUGUCUGUCAACGUAAUUAUACAGCACAAUGCCUUUCUUUUCAUGUCAGUCUUUAUUUAAAGUAGAAUUAUGCAUGUGCAAUUAAGGAAAAACUUCUAAGAGUUAAAAUUUUUAUUCCAAAUUAGUUAGAGUCCCACAGCCCCCCAACACAGCUGCUGUGACCCAAUACUAUCAUGUACACAGAAUUAUUUUUCAGGCUUUUUGUACUGUCCCAUGUGGCCAUAUAAUUCAUGCAUUUGCCCAAAAAGAUAAUGAAUCAAUUUACCAUUGAAAGAAAUCCAGAAUUUUUUAAGUGAGAUUAACAGUAAAGUUAGUUAUUUAGACUUUUUUUCAAGCGUUGAGGCUCAAAACGCAAUAUUCAGCACACUGCUCAGUUUUAAGAUGGAACUGUGUUUAAUGUACUAUAUUGCUGUUGAAAUAUGGCGUUCAUGCGGCCUAUUUAACAGACUAUUAGUCAUAUAAGUGAAAUUAGGCUCCUGAGCUUGCAUUCUCACAAAAGCUACCAUUCAUCUGGUGUUCAGCCUACUCUUUAUCAUAUCUCAUAGGUCGCUGACCUCACUUUGCUUUAAGCAAAAACAAACUUUCUCUGCAAAGAUAUACGAGCCCAGACCCAGUCUGUGCUCUAAGGUGAAGAGCACAAUGUGUCUUUGCAGAAGGCUAUUUUGAGAUCACUUUGCUCUUGUAAAUGUUCAGUUGCCUGCUGCUGUAUUUUGUCUGUGAGAUUUAUUCCUGAGCUUUGGCUUGUGUGUGUGUGAACAAUCAAUAGGAACAUAACCUGUUUAAAGCAGGUUGGCGGGGUCACACUGGAGGGCUACUGACACCGAGUACCAGUUUUUUACUCACAAAGGAAAAAAGAGACACAUGAAAGACAAUUCAAAAUGUAAAUUCCUCACUUUUGACACUGAGCUUCGAGAAAAAUACUAUAUCACGAAUCGAUACACAGGUUGAGUGGAUUUUUUGUUUGCUUUAAUCCCUGGUGAACUUGAAGACAGCGGUUUAGGUCAGGGUUCAUCUGAAUAUAAUUCAACAUGUAAAUCAGUGUUUUACAAAGGAAAGAAAAUAAACAUCACAUGUAUUUAGGACAGCACUAAGCCUGUUGUUGUUGUUGUUUUCCUUUUCAAGGUCAGACUCCUUUUCUUUUUUUCCUUCAUUGUGUGCUGCAAGGAAUCUGUAUGAACCACAGAGCUGACCCUCUGCCACUCACCUGCCUCCCUCCCGUUAGUAGAGCUACUGCUGAGGCCUCCAGACAAGGUCAGACAUCUUUUUAUUUUCAUUAUUAUGUCUGUAUCUCUUAAGUACGAAAGAGGAUAAGGGCAACAAGGAGAAAAAAAAAUACAGAAGGAAGAUUUUUUUAUUUCCAUUUUAAUAUUAAAGUUGAACUUUUGAGAUUAAAGUUGAAUUUUUAAAAGUUGAAAUGAAAGUAAUCCAAAUUUCUAGAUUAAGGUCAAAACCUGAGAUUUAAAAAAUCGAAAUUAUGUGAAUAAAGUUGAAAUUUCAGGAUUUUAAUCACACAAUUACAACAUUAUUCAUGAUAUUUCUUUAUCUCGAAAUCUCAACUGUAAUCUCGAAAUUUCAAAUUUUAAUCUUGAAAUUUCGACCUUAAUCUCCUUCCUGUCAUUUUUUUUCUACUUUUCAUGUGGCCCUGAUUCUCUUUAGUACUUAUGUGAACAGAUACACUGAUUUUGUCUUUUGUUAAAUUAUACUCCAUGUUUUGAGCAGAUGCACAGGCUAUUCUGGCUGACCACACUCACCUCCUAAAUGCAGAGUACAAGCUGCUUCCAUCUGGUUACACGUACACUCCGCUUAGGUGUAGUUGUGUCACAGCAGAUUUGAACUUGCUUGAUUAACGUGCACUGAAACCCCUGAGAGUUUUGUGUUUACUUGCUUAAUUUGUGCUAAUGACUCACUUUCUAUGCACAAUGUUUGCAUGCCAUAUCCCGUCUACGGGAGUGUCCCAACACAUGAACUAUUGCAAGAGAUGCCUUUUCAGCCUCUUUACAUUGGGCAUAGUUGAGGUUGACUACAUUGCAAGGAUUUGUUAUGUUUAAGGAUUAUACAGUUUGACUGUACAAUUACAGUCUAAGAAUUAAUCACAGUCUCACAAUGAUUAUGCAUAGAUCAAUUUCAUAACAGUACUAAUGAACAAAAAGUCUGUCUCUCCAUUUGGAAUUUUUUUUAUUUAUUUUUUUAUUUUAACAAAAAUAACACAACAUGACAUAAACCACCAAUAGACAGAACAGUGAUAAUCACAAAAACAGACAAACGAAGCUAAUUAAAAACAAUUAACACAAGCACACACCAAAAACAUCAUUACAACAUAAAAUAUACAGUGCAUCAGCAAAUUAAUUAAUAAAUGCUUCCCACCUUUCCAAAUACUGUCCAACAUCCCCUUUCAUAUGAGCAGUAUACCCCUCAAAAAAAUGGACGUUUAAUAAACAUCUUAAAUUGCUUGAUAUUCAAAGAAUUUGCACUGUCAGCUUCAAAAAUAAAUCUCUUUCCCAACAAAAUAAUUAAAUUAAUAAUAUAACUUCUUGUUUCUGUAACAUCUCCAAGCAUAACAGAAAAUAAGUCACAUGUAAAACACAUCUUCAUAGCAAUACACAUUCUUUGAACCUCCCAAAGACUGACUGUAAUUACCAAUCAUCCUCAUUCCCUUUGAUUAAAGGUAUGUGUCCUAUUAAUACUGUGGGUCAUAAGAGCUCCAGGAAAUUGGUGAACACACUGGACAAAAAUAGGCUGUUCCUCCACAAUUAUUUCUCUUAAGUGGCAUUAGCUGGACAGCACACAAGGUGUCCAAGAGAAAUUGAGAGAGAGGGAGGAGAUGUGCCAGACUUAACCAGAAUUACCGACCUAAUAAUAAAGUAUGAGCUAUAACAGAGCAAUGUAACUUGAAAAAUGGACUCAUAUAGAAUUACUGAAUUCAGGUAAAGAACCUUAUUAUGAGUCUGAACUGGACUCUUAGCCGGAAUGUAGCAUAUUUAGAGAAAAAUAGCUCUGUUGAUUAUUUAAUAAAAAAAUAUAACAAAUACAAUUGAUAAUAAAUAUAACAAAAAAAAAAAUACUGGUAGCUUUGUCUUAUUUUUCUUUUUGCUACUGUUCAUUGUAAUGGAUGGAUAAUUAUUUUAUGUAUUUUUAUUAAUAAUCUCUGUUCUUAGUCUGUUUCUUAAUUCCCUCCAAUGAACUUUUUACUUCUUUUACCCCUUUUACAUGGUAAAGAGCUCUUACUUAUUUUUUUUUUCAUUUUAUAUCAUCUUCUUGCCUUAGUCCGUCAGGUUUUACUCUUUCUUUUUACCAUUUUUAUCUUUUUAUCUCCAGUGUUUCCCUACACUAAGCUCUGUCCUCAUGCAUAGUCUCGGUGUCAAGCCAUAUCUUUUAAACAAUAUGCACCUGUGUGUGUGUGUGUCUUUGUGUGUGCGUGUAGGUCUAUGGGUGUGUGUGUAGGUGGGUGGGAGGGUUUAAUUGUUGUUUUUAGCCUUUGUGAGGCACUUUGAAUUACAUUCUUGUACGAAAAGUGCCAUAUAAAUAAAGUUGAAUUUGAAUUUGAAAACAUGUCAACAAAAGCUGAAAGUUUUAUCAAACGAAAGGAAACAGAGCGCAUGAUUUCUGUGUAGUAAAUAUGUGAGUAUGGCAGAUCAGAGAGGUCACAUGAUUCAGCAAACAUUAAUCCCAUGUUGUUUGCUCUGAAUCCCUAAAAAAUAAUGCUUUGUUGAUUGGUGUAAAAUUCCAGUAAAAAUGGUAAAAAUUUACAGUAAAAGGUCUGAAAUAUCAAAACUGCAAUUAAUGUUGAAAUGUGAAUAUUAUGUGUUUUCUCUAAAAUUGUGUAAUUCAGUUUGUGUGUGUGUGUGUGUGUGUGUGUGUGUGUGUGUGUGUGUGUGUGUGUGUGUGUGUGUGUGUGUGUGUGUUGUAAAUUUUUCUAAAUAGUAUUUUUGAUCGUUUUUCACUUUUUGUAUAUAUUCUUGCACUGCACCUUGGAAGGCCGGCUGUGAAUAAAUACCACCAUCAAUGCAUUUUUGGACCAUGCCUGUGUUUUUCCACUGUAUUGUGAUUGUUCUGAGUGAGAACCCUGCGACAGUUCAAUAUUUUUGUGUUCCUGUAACGUCAAAGAUUGUCAGCAGUAAAUAAUAUAGCAAGUUUAGAGCACCAAUGAGUUUGCCCUUCUUGUACUGAAUAUACCAAGUAUCAAUUUUUCAAAUUGAUUGUUAAGAUGAAGUCAAAGCUAUGAUAAUGGAAAAAUAAAAUCAACUGUUUGUCCAGUGAGGUUGGCAAAUGUGACAUCAUAGAGCAGGAGAAAGUUAGUACAACAAUACGGCAGCAGGAAAGACAUUAGGAAUACAAGCAGGGCACAAACCAGAUGGACCUGCAAGAUGUGCUACAUGAAAAUAAAAUAUUGUGUAAAUAAGACAAACAUAAAGAAAAGACAGAUGCUAAAUAAGCUAAACAGUUGAAAAAAUGUAUAGAUCACAAUAUAUUGUAUCGCAAUACUCACUGUAUUGUAAAAUGUUGAAAAUCCCAAUAAUAUCUUAUGGCCCAAGUAGCGUGAUAAUAUCCUAUCGUGGGGCCACUACUGACUUCCACCCCUAGAAUAUACAGUAUUCUAGUUCAGUUUUGUCAACAUGAAGUGUCAGGCUGUUACAAAAAUACUCAAAUGCACAAUCACAGAAAAAGUAAGAUUUUUUUUAAUUAAGCAAUAUAUUUUACAAUGUGCUUUCUGAAUCUAAUAGGUCACUUACAGGGAAAAAAAAAAAAAAAACUCAUCUGAUCCGGAGAAAGCAUUGAGUGCAGUGUGAUGUGUGACCACUGUACUGGGGGAAAAAUGGUAAAAGCUCUCGUAGUGUAGAGAAUCUUGCCAGCAGAGUUUGGAGCGUUCUAAAAGUGCAUUAUAUCCACAGGAAGAGGCCCUGCUUAGACAUGAAAUUGACUCCUGCUGUUUGCAACUUCUUUCACUCAGCUGGAGUCCUUCAAUCUAAAGAGCCUGGGGUUUCCAGAGCCCUCUCCCUCGUUCUAGUGAUAAAAGUGGGUUGUAAACAAACAGCAGCGCUGCCCCGAGAAUACUGACGCCAGCAAAAAUGCUGAAUUUCUUCAUAAAAGCAACUAUUUGCAUCACAGUCUCAAGUUAAUACAUCAGGAUAGCAUACAACCCAUUUUUUUUUUAUUUCAUAACUGAACAACACACUUCAUCAACAGCUGAGGUCUGUAUGUCUCAUAAUUUGUCUAAAGCUAUUAGCAUUUAGCCAAAUUUACUCUCCAAAUGCCUCGGCUGCUGAUGAAAACGCACAAUCAAAAAUCACAGUGAUCACUUUGAUAUUAUAAGUGCUUGUGUUUCUGCAUGGUUUAAUGAAUUAUUCAUCAUGAAGCUUUGCUUUUGAUUCAGAUUAGCAUCAAUAAGUGAAAGUGCAAAGAUGGUCAUUUUGCCAGUAUACCUUUUAGUAACCAUGUAAACAAAUAACUGCACAGAUUUAUUUCACAAACACUUUCUAUGAGAAAUAACUUACUGAAAAACCUAUUAAGAGAGGAUGCACUUUAGGAGCCCACGGUGCCAUUACAGAAAUUAAUGUGAGAAAAUGAUUCACUAAAACGAGCAUUUACCCUCGAGUACAACAGGCUGUUAAAAGAGAAAUAUAGCGGCUGUUUCUCAGAACUGAGCUUAAGAUGGUUUUCAGCCUUUGCCAGAUAGAUGCAACAUACGUGGUGUUACUUAUUCCAAUGGAUUUAUGCAUCUCUUUGUUUUGAUGAAAGUCUUUGCAUUGUCAUCUCAAAGUGGUCAUGAUUUGUUCUUAUGGUUAAAAAAAAAGUUUUUCUUUAGUCUCAACAUAACCGCUUAACUCAUUCAGACGUUGUCAAGCUGCAGAGAAGGACAGCACUUUUUCACUGGUCUGUCAAGUGCAUGUUGCUUUUAACAUGUAGCUUAAAAAUAGGGUUUUAAGCACAUCACUAUUCAUGAUUCUACCAAAGAAACAAUUUUGUCGGAGCAUUUUCAACUGUCAUUGUUUUCAUUUUGCAUUUUUGCAAGCAGAUCUCACUAAUUCAAUUUAUCAGUUUGUUUACCCUAAAAAAGGCAUCACAAUCCAACAUCAAGUACAGGCGUAACUGCAACACCCACUGACAUCUAAGGGUUACACUAAAUACAUGACAUUUCAACAGUUUUAUUGCUGAGUUAAGCUGCACUUUUUCGAGUUUUGCUUUGUGCAUUUAUUUAUAUUGAUUUUUGAAAGCUCAGCUGCUUCUUCUUUUUUGUCAUCAAAAGGCACAAUAAGUCUGUCACUGUCAGCUAAGGAUACAAAACUCUGACUAGAAAAGUAAAGAUGUGGAUGUAGGAAUGAAGAAGAUUCAUUGAUGCAGCUGUUGUGUGACAACUCCGGAUAUAUAAUGAGAAAAUAUACAGGGUUGCUUUUGUGCUUUGGUGUGUGUGUUUGAAGGUGAAAGUACAACUACAAAUAAAACUCACCUGUCCAUUUCAUUACAGACACUGAAUAACUCUUUCUCCCUGGAAACAUAAUUCAGAGGAUAAGUACUUUCAUGCACUGGCUUAAAUGCAGUGCUUUAACUGAAAAUAAACAGAUGAAAAUCUGUUUGAGGACUGUUGGUCAACCACCCAUCAAAUGCACUGACCUGCUUGUAGAACCACUCUGCUACAAAGCUGAUAGAAACAUCUUUAAAAACUUAAGCAUUGAAAUUAAGAAAGAGAGAUUUUCAAUAAUUAUUUAUACACAAAUAAUCAAAUAAAUAAAAAGAAAUAGCUGUAUUGCAGCAAACAAAACAACAGCAUUUAACAGUUUUAAGUUGUUUUAUUUACUGACCACCAUCAAGAACAAAAACUGCAACAGCAAAGUAAAUCGAAUACAAAAAGAGAAGAAGGGAAAAAAAAAAAAACAUCUCACAGUUGGGAGCCAGCUCCCAUUGUUCACAUUAAAGAGAUGGCUUUUUGAACUUGUUCCUUCACAACUGACACAUCACUAUUCAUCGAAAGAACUGUGAGUUACCAGCUCAGAUUUUGUUCCUGUUGUUCUGUUUGUUUUGCUUCAUAGUUCUUGUAUUUUUCUGAUAAUUCAUGCAACUGUAUAUGAAACAUCAGCCACAUGGUUGAACAAAGUCAUGUCGUCACAGUCCUUUAUAUCAGCAUGCUAAUUAUUCCGCCUUCCCAUGGGAGAAAAAAAACCCACUUAGGAUUUACUUUGUUUCACAACUGUGAGUCAUUAUUAUUUUGGCAUUCAAGGUUUUAGUUAAACCUUAAAUGCAGUUAGUCAUAAAGCACAUGCCAUUUUCAUGGAGUAAUUAGGAUGCAUAAUGUAUUAUGUUGAAUACACACCCAGUGGUCUCUUAAUGUCUCACCAUGUUGAAUUUAAAAGAAAAAAUUGACAUGAACUUUCCUCAGCGUGUAUAGGGAGCAUUAUGUGCCUGUAACAGACAUUGACUGGAGCUGUUAGGCAGAAGCAGCUGUGUUUUAUAAUGCAGUUUGCAUUCUCUGUUCCCCAUUAAACCCAUUCCUCGGGACAGACUCGAACUUGUGACCCCUCUAUUAGCCUUCAUGCACCCGCCCUGGUGAUUAGAGGAACAUUAGGAAAUUAAAGGCAAAUUGCAUUACCAGAGAAACAGACGGAGGUGCUGCUGAGGACCCAACAUGCACAGAACCUGCUGAUGCUCAGACUUUCCAUCCCUUUCAUCGGCCAAUGUGUGGUGCUUAAUGUCACCCUGCAGGUAGCAAUUUCUCAGGUGGUACAUUCUGAUAAAGGAAAAGACAGAGUGAGUGUUUUAAUCUCAAAGCUGGGUUAUGUGUUAGGGAAGACUGUAAAGUUAUUUUAGCCCUCAAAGUACUCAGGCAUAUUAAUAAGAUGCAAAUCACUUCACAACAUGCAGAAACUGUGUUAACACAUACUCAGGGGUUCUGAGGAAAUAUGUCCCUCAUCUGUAACUAUUUUGAGCAGAUAAAAUGUGAUGAUGCAGCCAGAGAAAAAGAUAAAUUGAUCCCCAGCAGAAUUUAUGUUUCUCUCAGUGGGGCAGUAUGCUGUAAGCACUUCACCAACACACUGCUGUAUAUGUAGCACUGUGUGUCAGCAGCACUAGUGGCAAAAAAGAGAAAUGUUGCAAUCACCAGACAUUUGGUGGCCAAACCUUCAUGGUUUUCAGUGAAAAAAAAAGUGGGCUUCAUCCUAUAUACCAGUGCAAGCAAUAUCCUAGCAUGAAAUGCAGGGAUGUAUUUGAUCAAAAUAGUGUUUGAAUUAAGCUUAAGCCUCAACACAGACGAAUGCAGUAACUAAUGCUAGCACAGCCACCAUCACAGCUCACUGCACUUAACCUGAUGGGACUGAAAAUUUGAAUGGAAGAGGCCUUUGCAGCUGUGGUGGUGCUACUUUUUGACAGCUUUUCUCCUUAAUUAGGUUGUAAUUAUGCAUUUCAAGAAAACAGAGGAAUAAAAUUGCAGAGAACACCCGGUGGAGUGCUUGAAAAAAAUCCUUAUCAGUGCAGUCAAAUGACGAGUGGGGGAGGGUAGCAGGUCAGCGUAAACUGGUUUGCAGGCAGUGCAUCACAGCUAAGGUUAUGAAAUCACAGACUAAAGAAAUGAAGGUUACGAAGACGUGCUGCAGAAAAAAUAACUUCCUGUGCCAUGGGUGCCUUGAGCUACUCAGACCAGUAUUCUUUAUUAUUGUGAGAUAGGGCAAAUUUUGGAAUUUUUGCAUUUAACUCUAUAAAAAUGGCCAGAGUCUUUAGUAAAAAAUGACACAAAAGGAUCUUAAUGAGUUUUAUGAGGUGUCAAAGGUUGAUCCUGAUCCAGACAAAAUUCCAGAUACUGUGAUCCAGAACACACAAAAAUAAGGGUGUCGUUGGAAUUUUCAAUGCUGAAAGAUAACCAAUGGGUGGCACAGUGGCGUAGAUGGGUGGCACAGUGGUGUAGUGGUUAGCACUGUCGCCUCACAGCAAGAAGGUCCUGGGUUCGAAUCCGGGUCAGGGCAUUUCU
RNAcentral lists this long non-coding RNA (54720 nucleotides) under Xyrichtys novacula (pearly razorfish). The record is from RNAcentral. Lineage: Eukaryota; Metazoa; Chordata; Actinopteri; Labriformes; Labridae.